RNAcentral lists this long non-coding RNA (73589 nucleotides) under Hordeum vulgare. Its description in RNAcentral is "long non-coding RNA (HVUL_LNC017720)". The stretch from base 8050 to 8185 matches the Rfam family "MIR1120/MIR1122 microRNA precursor family". Lineage: Eukaryota; Viridiplantae; Streptophyta; Magnoliopsida; Poales; Poaceae. The record is from RNAcentral.
CCUUCUCCCCCUCCCCGUAGCCGCCUUGCUCGCUCGCUUGCUUGCUUGCGCGUCUGAAGAUGGCGAGGUCGUCGUCGCCGAUGGCGAGGCAGCUGCAGCUGCUGCUCGUGGUGCUGUGUGCGUCGUGGCUGGCCUUGCAGGCGGCGGCGCAGAAGUACAAUGCGGUGUACAGCUUCGGCGACUCGAUCACGGACACGGGCAACCUGUGCACCAACGGGCGGCCGUCGGCGAUCACCUUCACGCAGCCGCCCUACGGCGAGACCUACUUCGGGAGCCCCACCUGCCGCUGCUCCGACGGCCGCGUCAUCGUCGACUUCCUCAGCACCAAGUACGGCCUCCCCUUCCUGCCCCCCUCCAAGUCCACCUCCGCCGACUUCAAGAAGGGCGCCAACAUGGCCAUCACCGGCGCCACCGCCAUGGACGCCCCCUUCUUCCGCUCCCUCGGCCUCUCCGACAAGAUCUGGAACAACGGGCCCAUCAGCUUCCAGCUCCAGUGGUUCCAGACCAUCACCUCCUCCGUCUGCGGCAGCAGUGAGUCCACAGUCCACCAUGCUUUUCUUUCCUUUCUUCAAAGCCCACCAUGUCUGCAGACUGCAGGGCAUGCUCUGCUCCUCCCUUAAUACUCUAGUACGAGCAGCAUAAUUUCCUGCGCCAUCCAGCUGUCUCCCCCGCCACUGCCACUGCCACUGCCAUGCCGCCAAUCAAGAACUUUACUCACUGUCCAUGGAGGCAUGGACCCUAGCCAUGCCUGCCUGAUUCUUGACUAGUCUUUCUGAUCUGAUGAUGCAGGCUGCAAGAGCUACCUGGCCAACUCGCUCUUCAUCUUCGGGGAGUUCGGGGGGAACGACUACAACGCGAUGCUGUUCGGCAACUACAACACGGACCAGGCGAGCACGUACGCGCCGCAGAUCGUGGACACCAUCUCCGCCGGCGUGGAGAAGCUGGUGGCGAUGGGGGCGACGGACGUGGUGGUGCCGGGCGUGCUCCCCAUCGGCUGCUUCCCCAUCUACCUCACCAUCUACGGCACCUCCAGCGCCGCCGACUACGACUCCCUCGGCUGCCUCAAGAAGUUCAACGACCUCUCCACGUACCACAACAGCCUGCUCCAGGCCAAGGUGUCCACCCUCCAGGCCAAGUACAAGUCGGCCCGCAUCAUGUACGCCGACUUCUACGCCGGCGUCUACGACAUGGUCCGGAGCCCCAGCAAAUACGGUACGUCUACAUGCCUACACACUAGUCAUAAUACGUACUGGAGGACAUGAUUUCAUGCACACGCCGGCGGCUAGUCUCGCCGUGGCGGCACUGUGGGUGGGUGGAUUUCAGUUUUCAAACUCGCCGUGGACCACGUCCUCCGUUGUCGGCGCAGAGCGUUUCUCGUUGUUGGACGCGCCCGUCACGCUCUGUCCUGGCAGUGCGGCAGCACCAGCACGGGACAUGCAUGCAUGGUGGCGGGAUUAAAUGAAGGAUUAUUCGGCGUUUAAGGCUCAUGCAGUGCCGCACUGCUGCACCACACCACUUGCUCUGCACUGCUGGCCGGUAGCGUGGUCACCACCACAUGCCCGUCCGUGCGUCCGUGCGUGCGACGGCCGUAGGGACGGAUUCCUGCCGUUAGCCCGGGCUGCGCGCUCCGGCGCCGGCCGUGGGAGCGUGAUCGUGUCCAGUGCCCAGUCCUGCCUGCACGCGGUCGAUCGCCGGCCGGUGAAUAGAAAACUAGGUCGCGGGCCGACACGGGCGCGCUCGUGAUCCCGAGCGAGUAACGACAUCCCAUCACGGGGAAAAUAAUGGCGGAUGCGCGGGGUUUGGUAGGCGCUGUUCCUUUAAAAUCGGCGCUACUUGCAGAAGCAAACAGCCGUUGCUCUGUUUCCCCAACCCAACACAUGCAUGCAGCCCCGGUGGCGGUGGGUGGUGAACGCCCGCCGGGACACACGCCACUGCUCCCGCACGUUGCCGAUCGGUCUCAAAACCCUCGGAAUCUUCGUACGAGGGAUCCAUCCAUGAUGGAUGCUGGAUAUUGCAGAGCAAGAAACCAAAACGAUGAACCAACGAACACUGUGGUGUGGUGUGGUAUGAUAUGAUUCCGAUUCAAGAUCUGACUCGCGUGGAUGUGGAAUGCAGGUUUCAGCUCGGUGUUCGAGGCGUGCUGCGGGUCGGGGGGAGGCAAGUACAACUACGCCAACAGCGCGAGGUGCGGCAUGUCCGGCGCCUCCGCAUGCGCCAGCCCGGCGUCGCACCUCAGCUGGGACGGCAUCCACCUCACCGAGGCCGCAUACAAGCAGAUCACCGACGGAUGGCUCAACGGCGCCUUCUGCCACCCCGCCAUCACCCACUAGCCACCCCACCUCAGUCCGUGCAUGCAUGCAUGGGCGCAUCAAAAACCUCAUCGUCGUCGUCGUCCAUGAAUCCAUAAUCAAUCAAUCAAUCAACCGAUCGAUUAUCAUUAUAUUAUUAUUAUAAUUAUUAUUAUUUGUUCAGUCGGGUUAACUAUCAUAACGUGUCUGGGGACCGGCCAAGGCUAAGGUUCCCGGUCUGAUCCGGUGGCAAAAGAAUCGGGGCGCGUCUGUGGUGACGAGUGAAGAAGGAAGAAGAAGAAGAUGACGGCAAGCGUCGUGGAAUAGUAGUGCGGCCCGUGCUGCUGUUGUUGUUGUGAACCUGUAACCUGAUAGUAGUAAUUGUUUUGUCCCAUGGAUGGAAAAAAAUAAUGAAAAGGAAAGAAAUAAUGCAAGGAACUUUCUGCCGUGGCGGCUAGGAAUUUGGUUUGGAUCUUUCGCCCUGGCGCACGGGGUCAUGUGUGGUGUGGUCGGAGCUUUUCGGUAAAGACACUGCACAAAUCCCGCCGACUAGUCUAGUAAGUAGACACUGUGGUGGUCGCUCGUCGGGGCAGAGCCCGUGACAACGACGGACAAACCUGGGCAACGGCUCCUAUCCUGUCCUCCAUGAUUGACAGGUGAACGGAGUACCGCUGAUCACCGUGGCGUUUCAUCUCCGUGGAACAGCAAGCUGCGUCCCAAACGGACGCACGAAUUUGUCCGUUUUUCCUUCGUUUGGCUCGACCGAGCGGACACCAGUGUCCGCUUUUUUAAAUGGAUCAGUCAGACCAGACCGUCCAACGCAGGUUCGGAUGCAAACAAUUGAUAAACAUAAUUAAACAUUAAAAGGCCGGUCAAAGCCGGCCCAAGUCCACAUAAAACAUAAUUAAACAUAAAUAAAAAAACGCGGACGCCCUCGGCCGUCCUACGCAUCGUCUUCGUUGUCGUCGUCGGGGAGGUGAGGUCGAUGAGCUCCGGGACCGGCCCAGCCCAAGGGAACGCUCCCUCCCACGCCUGAGCAGCGUCCUUGCCCGGCAGCAUCGACGGCGUAGGCUGAUGGGCUCGCUCCUCCUCCUUCCGCUUCCGACGCUCCGCCUCCUCCUCCUCCUCACGCCUGCGCUCGAGCUUCAUCUGCUCCGCCGCCUCGGCCUCCUCCCUCGCCAGUGCCAGCGACUUAUGAUGCAGGAGGUACUCUUUCUCCUCCUCCGUGCACACAUACCAGACGGGAGGCGCGGACAUCCACUACAGGAGCUGGCUAGUCCACUGGUAGGUGUGUGGCUGGCGCGCCUCGGCCUCAGCGGCCGGCGAAGAUCGAGGAGGGGGCACGACGCAGUCGCCCCCCGCGGACAGCGCAAGGACCUUUUCGAGACCUACCCAGCGCACAUCCUCUUCGCGCCUGCUCUCCUCGAUGGCGUAGGUUGUUGCCUCCUCCUCCUGCUCCUCUGGCAUCACUUGAGGGGGCGGUGGAGGGAUGGCCGUAUCGAACUGGGCGCCGUGGAUGCGCUCCCGCUCGUGCUCGACGGCGAACCAAACCUCCCAUUCAGGAGAGUCGGCCGCGUACGUCGGGUCGUGCCGCUGCUCUAGAGUGAGGAGCGCGCCGCCGGCGGACCUCCUCCGCGUGCGCGUGCAGACCGCGACACUGCUGGGAUAGGGAUGCGGUCGGGGUCCAGAUGCCAACCUUGGGGGAGGUUGACAUCUGGGUAGGACAAAGCUUGCAUGUACUGCCAGUGCCACCGAGCAUGGUGGACUGGGAUGUACACGCGCUCCCGCGAUGACGCCGACACCUUGGACGAGCUCGCGCCGGCGGUGAGCUUGCCCUUGCCCUUGCCGAAGAAGCCCAUGGCUAGGGUUGCGUGGUCGCUGUCGGGGAAGCAAGCGUGGCUAGAUGUGGACGGGAGGGGAAAGUGGAUGAGGCCGACCCCAACACACGCUUUGGAAUAAAAAAGGACCCAUGACCACCUUCCACCCACUGCCAGGCGGGCCCGUAGGUAGGUGGUUGCAUUUAAUACGACCGGAGAGUCGUUGGCCGGCCGACGAGUGGGGCCGAGGCGGACACGAACGGGACGCGCGGCGAGUCCGCUCGGCGUCCGCGACGACGCAAAUCCGCCCUAAAUGUGGACCUGAAAUGGGUUGACGCGGACAUGAAACAAACGCGAUUUGGGACUAGGUCGGCGCGUUGGGCGCCUGUUUUCGUCCGCUGCGACCCAAACGGACGCGGACGGACGAAAUGGUGUGUGGGGCGUCCACUUCGCGUCUGCGCCGAUGCAGCCAUGGUCGCCGACGCAUGGACCCGACGAUGACGGGCGUCAUAAAUUAUGUUGAUCGCGGUGGUUGGGACGGACACCGAGGGUGCGCGCGCGUCCACUUCACGUCCGCGCCAACGCAUUUCAGUCCCAAAUUUAGACCGAAAAUGAAUUGUCGUGGAUGCGUUUUGGCAAUGGGUCUACGCGUUGGACCAUCAUUUUUAUUCGCGCCGACCCAAACGAACGGCGACGGACGAAAUGGAUGGCAAGUUGCUCUUGGUGCGAGAUUCGCUCGUUAGGCGGAUAGGGUGCGGUGCACAGGCCAUUCGGACAGCGAGUGAUGUCGACUCGUGGGUCUUGACGGCCGAAUCUCUCUCAACCACCACGUCGAAUCAGCUUGAAUACAAGGGAGUGAGUGAAUGCGUACUCUUUCGCAAGUGGCCGACGACGCGGGGCGAAAGCGGACUGAGCUUUUCUUUGUUAGCUGGAGUCCGUGGACUUGCUAGACCCCAGAGACAGCUACGCGCUCUACCACAAGACCCAUCAUCAUCGUCAUCAUCCUUGCGAGCAGGAGGAUCCUUCCCAUUCAAUGCUGCCACCAACGUCUCUACUACUUCCCUAGUUGGCGACACGGCAGUGUCAUACCGGUGUCGGGAACUCGAGGAUGGCAUCUUGGCAAAAAAAAGGAUUCAAUCGAGCAGUCCAUAUCCUUUACUCCAAUCUUUCAAGAAUGAGCUGAUUGGCGCAGAAGGCAAAAGAACGUAUGGGGCGCUACUCAAUUUGUACUACCGCAUUUUUUUUCCCUUCUAUACAACAAAACUUUUGUCACGACGACGGCGCAUCCGACGGUAAUGAUAAUACAGUUGUGGUUAAAAAGCAGGGUAAGAAUGCGCUGCAACUGCGGCGUGGUGUGGCGCCGCGCCUGAAUCGCACGACGCAGCUGUCUCGUCAGUGUGCCUGGUAUGCUCUUGCAAAACGGCAAUCAUUGUACGUACUACCUGGUGACGGAAUCGAAUCGAAUCGGAUGGUGUAGGCACCCCAAGAAUCUAUUGGGUCAACCGACCAUUUGUGUCAUCAUCAUGGCACGUCCAUCGCCUGGUCCAUGCCUCCAUGGCUGGCUCCCUGUGUCUCCAGACCAAGCAAGCAUCACUCGUCAUCGGUUUCGGUUUCGGCCGCCUCCGUCGGACCACCGGUGCACUCUUUCCGCCGGUGAAGCUCCAGCAUCUUUACCUCUGGGUGGCAUAGCCCUGGAUGAGAGCAGACAGAAACGCGUUACAUUUACGGAUGCGCCUUCUGGUAAAAGGUCGUGGCCCCGGGGCAGAUAAAAUCUUGAAUGUGAAAGAUCCACAUUUCAUCAAGCGCUUUUGCUCUGGUAAAGUCGGGUCAAAGAUAGAAAUUAAUGAAGGAAAUAACCUGAACAUUUUGGGAUGUCCCAGACGGCAAUCGAGGAUGCCGUGCACUCGGGCUCGCAGAGGGCAUGGGUGUUCUCGUGGUUGACGUUCAUAGCAAGCAUCCAGGAUCCAAUGGUAACGUCCUCGUUGUUGAACAUUCGGAAACUGGACAAAUAUAGGUAAGAAUAUGUUAAACAAACAGAUACAUGCUUCGGUUUGAGGUUGGACAAUGAUGCAAAGCAACCGGCUCACAAUAUAUUUAAAAUAAUUUAGGUUAAAAACUGUCAAUUUGCGACUGUAGCCUACUACAGGCAUAAUAACAUUACAAUUGUGACUCUUUACUGUAGCUCUAUAACCAGUCCAGCCACAGGAAAGGAAAGUUCGCCUAACCACAUCAUUUACUAAUAGCUGAAAGAGACAUGACCACAAGCCCUAUCCAUGUCAGGUAUAACUUUCACGCUUUGGCAUAUGCUUUCAACAUGAGGGAAUCUGGCCAUAACUAACAUAUCACAAAAUAUUGCAGCCUGUAUAAGGAAUGUUCCCUGUCAAGACUUGUUUUCAAAUUGACACUAGGGACUGAAAAAAUGUUUUAAGCUCGUUGCCAAGCAGUCAAUGACAAACUGACACCAGGGGAGUGAAAAAAUGUUUUAAGCUCGUUGCCAAGCAGUAGGGCAUUUUGCUGGCACUUCAUGACUAUAGCAUAUUAGCAUGACUACUUGAUAGUUGGUGCUAGGGGCGAAUUGCACCUCACCAUCGCAAAGAUAACACAAGUUGUAAAGUGUCAUUCAUGUGUCACUAACAUGUGGCCCCAGGGCACUUUUUAGGUAUACAUCUUUCUGUGGUACUAAGUUAAAAAAAAGUUUGGUACCAGUUGGCUUGCUGAGACCCAAAAAUAAUAUUUACUGGUACAGCUAAACAUGCUUAUGUGCAAGAUGGCGAGUUUUAGAAUAUUUACCUGUUGUUUCUCAGAGCAACCAAGCUUGCCACCACAUCAGCUGAUAAAGCAUAAAUAGGCCCAUAUGCAUGAAGGAAGUAUUCUGAUCCAAGUAGGAAGGACUGUGGCUCAUACCUGUGUUCAUCAAAAGAGCACAAUCAAGAACAAUAAGUAGGCAGCGACGAGUGCUACACAGUAUAAUUGCCCCGGUAGAGUGUUCGCAAAUACAAAAAAAAAAUGGUAUGAAUUGCGCUCUAGGUCCCUGAACCUAUACACUGUAUGUUUUAUAUACCCCUAAACUUGCAGUUCCAUUUAGAGACCCCCCCCACCCCACCCCACCACCACCACCACCACACACACACUCACCAACCGGAUCCAGUUAUUAAAUGAAAACACAUCGAUCACACGCAGGUUCAAACAGUAACAAAUCCGGGAACAUACAAGCCCUGUUGUGAAUAUAGGCAUGACCGUAACUACACAUUUUGCAUCCAAGUUUGUUCCUGUUAUUCCAAACCCUGAACAAAGGGAUUCACUAAAUACACAAUUUGCAUCCUCGUUUGUUUUGUUAUUCUAAACACUGAACAAAGGGGUUUACCAAGUACUGGUAUGUGGUAUCGUGUUUGAUAUCUUAAUAUACCAAUUACCAAACAUAUACAGCCUUAAGUUUAGUACUACUGCCACCUUUUGCAUGUUUUUUUAAGUUAAUUUUGAUGUGUUAGUAGUACAGAGAACUGUUAACUUCAGGGAUCACAAAUAAAUUGCAAGAUCGGGAAUCUAACUGAUAGAACCAUUAAUAUUUCGUGAAAUAACAGAUUGAGUUACAUCAAGUGUUGAUCCAAGUGAUACAAAUAGAAGUUCAGAGAUAGGAUCAUAUCAAAUUGCAAGGCUACCAACCUAACUAACACAAAUAUGCAGGUUUAGGAACCAAUGGCCAAAUUCACUCAAAUAAAUGUUUCACCUAGGUAGCUAAUAUUGGUUGAGCUUACAUCAAGUCAUCAAAUAAGUUAGUUUCACUCCUUAACUACAGAUAUGAGUGACAGAAGACAAAUAUCCUAGUUUUGGAUGCACGAAAAGUUAUCUUUGCCCUGUCCAUUAACCUUUCGCACAUACUUGCAAAAUUCACUAUCGUGAAUGAUAAGACUCAUAGUCAGCAUAAAUAGUACUUCCUCCGUACCUAAAUACUCCCUCCGUCCCAAAAUUCUUGUCUUAGAUUUGUCUAGAUAUGAAUGUAUCUAGUCAUGUUUUAGUAUUUAGAAACAUCCAUUUCUAGAUAAACCUAAGACAAGAAUUUUGGGACGGAGGGAGUAUAAGUCUUUUAAGAGAUUUCAUUAAGGGUCUACAUACGGAACAAAAUGAAUGAAUCUACACACUAAAGUAUGUCUAUAUACAUCCUUAUGUAGUUCACUAGUGGAACCUCUAAGAAGACUUAUAUUUAGAAACGGGGGGAGUAUAUUCAAUUAUCCAAAGAUAACCAACUUUCUCCAGGUCAUAUGUCGAUGCUAAGCAGCACAUAGCAUAUUCACCGAGGAAAACAAACUCCUUGAUAUUCCUAAACUAAUCGAGAGGAGAUCAUUAUCAAACAUCCAAACUUUGUCCAACAUCACUUAGGCCUCCUACAACUGAUUAGGCAAUAAGGUUUGUACACACAGAUGGUGAGCUUUGUUUUCCGAAAUUAAUGCAUGUCAAAGUAAGCUGAAGCUUAACACUUGAAGAAACAUUAGCAUUCACGUGCAUCCAUAGUGUGUUUUUUUUUAUACAAAAUUACCAUUUUUAACUUUUUACUGGUCACUUACACUGAAAUAUUAUCUUAUAAGUUGAUCCAGACAUUUAAAAAUAUAUCAGCAAUCAAAGUUAGAAAUAUUUGACAAGAAAAAAUACAGAACAGACAACUGGAGUACAUUAUUAUCGGAGAGAGCAGAACUUGACAAAAGGCAUAGCCACUAAAGGUAGCGAGCAUGAUUUUUUUUUAGCCAAACCAACCCUGACCAGAUUUUGUAUCCAGAAGCCUUAACCACUUAAAAACAGUCCAUUACCUCAUUCCAUGGUAACCAUUGCAUACCCUUCCAAUACUCGAGCACAAUUGUUGGCUCUAAACGACAUAUAUCUCAGGAAGCUCAGAAAGUAAUUAUGAAAAAACAUGCGUAUAUGGAAGUACUAGACCCAAUCCAAAAGAGUUAUCAUCGCUGAACAUAGAAAAACAAAUUUAGGCCCUUACAGCAAAUGUUGCCUACUAGACCAAUCCAUGUGAGCCCCACUACUUCCUUAUAUCCUAUGAUAUGAAAGCACUAGACCCAAUCCAAAACAGUUAUCAGCGCUGAACAUAGAAAAAAAAAUAGGCCGUUAUGGUAAAUGUUGCCCACUACUUCCAUAUAUCCUAUGUGAGCUCCACUACUUCCAUAUAUCCUAUGAUGUAAAGCAGGAAGUGGCGUACAAUCAAUGCAGAGACACCAUUACAGGUGAAACAAGGAUCACUGACGGCACCACUCCUUGCCCACCAGACAAUGCCAAUCAUUUUGAUUUCAGACAACUAUAAUGAAUCUUAACACAAAUACUUCUGAGACCAUAAGACUACAGUUUUGAUGCAAUACUUAUGCUGUAGAAUGAAAAUUCACUUCUCGGUCAGGUUUUGCAGUAUUAGCUACUUUCCAUAUAUUUAGCAUGUAACUGUAUGUAUUGCUUCUUAGAGUUAAACAUCCCUUACAAGGAAAAGUGUUGGGUAAAAAAUGAAAAGAAGAAACUAACCAUUUCAAUUUGGGAUCAGUGAAAACAGGCCCCUUCUUCAUGCAUCCAAUGUAUGUUUGUGGGUGUGGACGUUCCUUCGCCAAAAGCAAGGAGAGUCUAUCUGCAGAUUAGAAAUUGAUGAUGGAAGUGCCAACCUUUCAAAAAGAAAAAAAUGUGCAUGUUGGUCAAAGCUACUAAGAGCAUAUAUCUUGAAUAUCGUUAGUUUCUUGCUCACCUGGUCUCAAGUAAAUGUCAUCGUCAGCUUUAACAUAGAAAUCAGAAUCAAAUAACGCAUAGGCAGCCUUAAAGAAUGCUAACCUAAAACAUAAGAUCAAAUCAGUUUCCAUAUGAAGAGAUAACGCAAUGAUAUGAUACUAGUUAAACUGUUUACGUUUUGUAUGGAAGCCUGCUAUACUCCUCCUCGAGAUCUAAAAGCACAAAAUCAUCAUAUUCUUCAACCUCUCUUUCAAGAGCUGUCAUCUUAGACUUGUCAUUGCUUUUGCCGAUCACAAAUCUGAAUGCCAGACCAGUAGCUUCCUCCAACCUGCAUUAAAGUGAACACAAUGAGAACUGCAAGAGCACUUAAGAAGCAGCAUCACUGGAUAGAAACCAAAAUAAAAACUAGUUGUGACAAUCAUCAAGCAACAUAACUGGGGUCACAUUUAUCACUAGAACUCUAGAAGCAAAUGUAAAAAUUCCCUGUACAAAACAAUAGAUUGUCCAGCUUCAUGCAUUAUUCUUCAAACUCAAGAAAGAAAAUAAUUAAUCACUAUUCAUCAGUGCUAAUGAGACAGAGUCCAGCAAUUCAAAAGGAUCAAUACCGUUCUUCUAGAGUAGUAGCAUGAUUCCACUAAAAUCAUGAGUAUAUCGCAAACUCGCAGGAGUUAUGUCUAGAGAACCACCAACGCAGAAGAAUUGGCAAGUCUGAUGCCACAGCAGAUAACUCAUAAUCAAACUCAAGGAGCAAAUAUAGAAACAAAUGAAUCCAAUAUCCAUAUGAUCGAUAAGGCGAACUUUCCAUAUGAAUGGAUGAAUGAAUUAGCCAGCUCUUGAUCAUAAAAAUUAAUUGACCAGCAAUGACUUAUGUUAGCGAACGAGAACUAUAAUAGGCACGGGAUGAUUCGAAUACACCGCAGUCAAAAACAAAAUCUAGAUCACAGAAAUGGACGAACGGAAUGCUAGGUAACCAACCAGAUCAACAGUCGAGCGCUAAAGCUAGAUCUCGAGCAACACAGGCGAACAUGAACUAGGAAGCUGCGGUACCAGCGACAACUAACCGAAGGAGGCCCUGCCGAUCGGAGGGGAGCCACGUCCGCCUGAGCGCGCGGCGGCGGCCGACGGAGCCGAACCCGGUGAAGAUCCCGACGAAGGCCAUGACCUUGUGCCUGCCGCGCGAUCCGGUGGCGUGGCCCGCCGGGAACUCGGUAGCGCCGCCCGCGGCAUCCCCGGGGCGCCGGUCCCAGGCGACGGAGACGGAGAGCGGGUGGGAGGAGUCCGGGCAGCGGCCGCGCGGGGCCUCGGCUGGCCCCCGGGAGAGGGAGACGGCAGCGGCGAGGAACCCGGUGAGGCCGAAGAGGAGGCAGGCCGCGGAGACGGCCGGCGAGGAGAGGAGGCGGCGGAGCGAGGAGCGUCGCGAGGCUGCGGCCGCCGAGGAGGAGAACACCUUGGGCGAGCUGGGCAUGGCUGCGACCGCGCUGCCCUGCCGCGAGUGUGGCGGGCGGGGGCCGGGGCUGCGGCCGGUUGGUGGGGCAGCGGCGGCGUCAGAUCGGAGAAGGGAGAGUGGUGGCGGAGCGGAAAAUGGGUGCGCGACAGUGUGACGGCAGAUCGCCCGUUUUGCAUUGGUUUUUUUUUUUAAUGGUUGCUUUGGGUUGUUGGUGUGGUGUGACUGGAAAUGGUGUGUGUGCUGGGCUGGGCUGGGCUUGGUGCCUUGGUCUAGAACUCUAAUUUUUUUGGAAGCAAUCUCUUUACUAUUAAAGGGGAUGUGCCGUUGUCGUGAUGGUUCAACUGGUUUGAUCUCCCACCCUCCUAUUGAUACCUUCCCCACCCACAUCCUUUCAUCGAUUUUUUUUAUCCCUCCGAAAACCAGUGGCGAGUAAACCAGCGAACCGGGCGGACCAGAGAUAAGAAACCACCUCCUUCGUUCGUGACCAACUCCUACGAUCGCCAACAAAAAAAGAACUGCCCGAAACAAAGCAAGCCCACGCACGAACACAGGGAUCGUUCCCCACCCACGACUCCAUCUGUACGCCACCAAAAUCAACCGGCGAUCUCUUUAGCGCUGCAUCGUUCGCGUCGCGCUUCUUCCUCUGUCCAUCGACGAUCCGCCCCCCACCGCUACAUCGCCCCCUCAAGCCAGAUCCGCCGCUCCUGGCCCCUAGCACUCAGCCGCGACCCCCCUCCCCUGUGCUUAGGGUUUGUGCCAGACAUCUUCUCGAACACCAGCGCGACUCCAGCGACCUUGGUCGGUCCUUUCUAUCGCUUACAACGGCAUCUCGCACCUCCAAGUUCCCGGCGGCGACUGUGUGGACCAUGACGGCGGCUACGAAUCUGAGCUAAACACCACCUCGCACUGCGUUCGCGAACCGGUGGAUGCCUAGAUCCAUCAUGACCACACGUUGCUUCGGCCGUCAUGAAGGGCCUCAAGGAGGUUCUAGAGGUCUGCCCUCCUCUCUCGCCAUCUCUUACAAUUUUGUGUUAUUCUAUGUCGAUUCAGUUACAGUAGGUUAUACCUGGUUGAUGAACAAAUGAAUGCAUAAUAAGUGCUUAAUUCAGUUAGAGAGAAAGCUAAACUAAAUUGCAAUUUAGAUGUAUUCUCAUUGUAAGGUCAACAUUCAAAUACAUACAUACUUGCCUGUAGUUCCUAAUUUCUCCACGCACAAACAUUAUUGGGUGUACCAUUGACCGAAGCAAUCCAUCACAUUAAACUUUUGAACCUAUAAUUUGUGACGUAUUUUUAUGGGAUUGGUUAGAACUCAUCUAGCCGAGACAUAACUAUGGUCUCAUUCACCUUGUAUUUUUAUAAGGAGCAUGACGUCAAUCCCUCUCGUGGCUACCAGUGGAGAGGGUCAGCUGUCAUGUGUUCCUGUUGGUGGUUUGAAUGGCGCCGCCAACACCGCCUGAUGCUGGGUCAACAGAUGUCGCCCCCCGUGCCUGUUGCCGCCCCAUGCUGGAUUACCUCUACCAACGAAGCCACCCUCAAACUAGAGAAGUCAAAGUUGAUCGGCCGCCCAUGCCAUGGUGCUCACCGAGGUUCCAGACCGCAACAAGGCCGGCUUGUUCUGAGAGACAUGCCUCAUGAACACCUAUGAAUGCACGAUCCUCGAUCUUCCGCCACCAGAAUUCUGGUACGUUUCAUUGCAUGAUAUAUCAUUGUGGUUAUUUUUUUUAGAUUAGCUUAACCCAUCGAUUGGCCAUGCCCUGCUUUAUGGUAAUCUCUCGAUGUUUUAAACUAUCAUUAUUAAAGGAGGAUCUGUUGUCGUGAUGGUUCAACCUAUUUAUCCCCUUCAGUUCCCACGUAUGAACGCUCUCACACCAUCGCACUAGCCAGAAAAAAAAUCAACCCCACCUCUAACGCGAGAACCAACCCAAGUCAGAUGGGAAAAAACAAAGACGCUAUUAUGAACAAACUGCAGGCACGCACUAUCACGCCAUGCCCCCACGAUCCCUCCCAACUACUCCUCACAAUCGCAGCAAUCCCCUUCCUCUCGUUGUUUCCUCUGCCCCAAUCACUCUCCUCGAGACGAGAUCUCUACAAUCCCCCUCCUCCAGCUGCCUCCCCUUCUCGAAUCACUCUCCUCGGAGGGCCAAGCGAGGAGCUGAAGUAUACAAGACCGUACGGGUGGAGUAGAUGGCUGGCCAGCUCUGUCUAAUGCGGCCUGCCUCCUUGAGGGCCUCACUGUUGACGACUACGCAGUGUAGAUGGGGACCCGGGAGGGGUUGGAGGAUGGGUGAAGUUGCCGUUGUAGUUGACCCGUGGCACCGUCGGUGAGAUACGACCCACUGCUGGAGGGAAGGAAGGAGCCAAGGACGCCCAGCGCUGCCGCGAAUCCCAUCUUGAUAUUCGUCAACACUGGCCAAUUCUGGCCUGAAGCUUUCGCUGUCAGGUACAUCCACCUGCAAUUUCCAGAAUCUGCUUUGCUCUUGUGCGCUUGAAUUCUUAUGGGCAGUUGCAAAUUGUAACGAACUGAAUCAGAUGUUGUUUCUUAUGAACUUAACCGAAUUUCAUUUUAGCUUUAAUUUUGAAUGGUGUGCUCAUCAAUUGAAGAGUUCUAUGAAGAGGAGGACAGCAAUGACGAGGACGUCGAGCUGGUGGAACUACCUGGCUGUAGGGACACGCAUCAGCUUUUUUGGUCAGUCAACUCAAAGGUUCGCGUAAUGUCUUUAGCUUAUGUAUAUUAGUAUGUAGCCUGUGGAACAAGGUAUGCUUAAUUUGUGAGAAAUUUGAAGCUAAGUUAGGUUCAUAUGUUUUUCGAAUAACAGAAUAUAUAGCUUUCCAUCUCAGUUUCAGCAAUUCAAGUUUUGGCUGACCUUUUUGCAAGCAUAGCAGGCUGUUCGAAUUUGGCCAGUAGUGAGGAGGGAAACUCCAUAUCCAUCCACUCGUUGAAACAUCAUACUGCUAAGAUUAAUAUUGAACAUUAAGGUUGAUCUAACUUUUGCUAAGCAAACCAUCAUGCUUGAGGUUGAGGUUAUUUUCCUAUCUUUAGAAGUAUGAUUUAAGGAUAGUGGGUACUCUUGUUACAAGCAUAUUCAUCAUUCUAUUCUAUGGUAUUUUCUCUGUGUCGUUUUAGAUUGGAGAACAUUCAGAGAAAUGAUAGUUGUAUUGGAUUGGAGAACAUUCAGAGAAAUGAUAGUUGUAUUAAAUUGGAGAACAUUCAGAGAAUGAUAAUCUUGGCAAGCGUUUGCUUUUUCUGUUCUAAUUUACUACUCAACGCGAUAAAUAAUAAAUAAAUAAAUAUGAGACAGAAGUUCUACCGUAACAUAUUUUGUGAUGGUACUAGCUAUCCUUGAAACAAUAUUCACACAAAAGACACAUUCCUUCAAGUUUUCUUGCUCAUUCUACUAUUGGUUGUUGACAUGUUACAGUUGACUGAUGUUCCGUUGUUACAUGUCAAUAUGCCCCUAUAUUUGCACCAUUGUUAGUAAAAUUUAUUUCUAGACUUUAUGUCAUUUGGGCCUCAUUUUAUAUUUUGACCAAAUCAUAUUUUGAACUCAAUUUAUUUUAUUUUAAAAUUUCCGGUCAAAUCUAUUAAUGUGCAUGAUGCCACUUAGAAUUAUUUUGUAAUUACUGCUACGAAUAAAGAUUGGUUCUUCUAUGAUAUUUUAACAUGUUCUUGCCUCUCAUAGGUCCACUCACACACAGACUACACUCAAUAGUUUCCAUGCGUGCACUUGCAUAUAUGUGUAUAUGCAAUGCUAAUUCUUUUAUCAGGUUGGCAAAGCAUGAGGAUAUACAUCUGCCUUUCCCCACCUAGAUGGUCUCUUCCUUGAAAUAAAUGUAUGUUGUUUUGUUGGCCGGCCGACAAUAAUUUUAAUUAGUUGAUCGCUCACUCAGAACUCAAAUAUCUUACAGUAUUGUGCAUUAGCAUCAUAUGAAAACUGAACUUCAAGUUUGCACUGGCUAAUUGGCAAUCCCUUGUAGGAUAAACCACACCACCCUUUGGACUGCCCGCCGUUGAGUUGGACCGGACUGGACAAACCAGUCGAACGGCCUGGAUUUCGUUGACCAGACCAGCGGCGCUCUGGCCCGGGCGACUCGCUGCCGUGUGCCGUGAACGACCAGCACAGGGCACGAGCGGGAGGGAGGAAUGGAAGAUCACAAGGAUGGCAAUGGCGAGGUCAGCAAGGCUUGUGGAGGACGGGAGCAUGGUCAUGGAGCUCGGCAGCGGCUGCCAAAGUAAUGACGUAUGGCGAUGUUGGGAGCACGCUGGAGGAAGUGCUGCUCAUCACGGACAUGUCCUGCAGCUUCUGGAGCACCGAAGGGAGCUUGAUGGAGCAAGGAGAGAUGUAGGGGCGUGGUGGCGGCGAUGAGCUUGGUGAAUUUUCCUCAGGUUUAGCAUUUGAUCAAAUGUCAUAUUUUAAAUUAAAUCAUGUGUUGCGAUUGUAUUCUUCAUGAUUUUAAAUUAAGCAAUCUCUUAAUAUUGAAAAUAACAAAACAAUUUUAAGAUAGUUCUUAAUUUGGUUUAGGUUGCAUUUUAGAAGAAAAACAAUUCUAAGAUUUUUGACGUACGUGCACGUGUGCUACACCAUAUAAUAGGCAACCUGCAUUGCACAUGCUCAAUUAGGCCAAUAUAUUUUAUAGGACUAAUAUGCCAGUCGUUAAGGUGGUUUAUAGGGCAAGUAAGUGAUGUAAAAUGUGACUCUGAUGUUGUACUAAUGUAUAGUACCAUGAGUCGCUUCUACUAGGAUUCAUUAACGGGUAUACAAAAAAGGAAGGUUUUGGUUCUACAAGAGAAACAUUUUCUUGUCGCGUGUGCACUCGAUUAUUUGUAUAAGGCAGUUCUAAAUGUUAGGGGUUAAAAUUAAUUUCUAUAUAAUAUGGUUAUUUAUUUAUUUCAGAUUAAUGUCAUCGUAGUUUAAAAAUCAGAAGUGUGCACAAAGGAUUUGGAAAAGUAAACGAAAGGUAUAUUCCUCAUUAGUUGUCGAAUUAUUACAAGAACGAUGGAUGAAUCGAUUCUUUUCUUCUAUGUAAUUCUGUAGUUAGUCCUCCUAGAUUAUUACAAGAGUGUUUUCACUACCCCGUGAGACAACUAAUUAUCAAUGAUAUUUCUAUGAGAUUGUAGCUGUGAAAAUUUCAUGCACAUCUUCCUUUGGUACAUGUCAUAUUGUUUAAUUUGCGUCUAUAACUUCUCAUGAGUGAUCAACUUAACUUUCUUCCUGACCUUUCAUAUUUAUUUGUGUCGACUUUUUGUAAUGCUUUCUUGGGUCACCACUGUAGUUGUUUAACAUGGGCUCUUGACCAUGCAUUUAGAAUUCAGAACAUAGUUGAUUUAUUUGUUUUAGUCUUAUUCUUAGAAAAGAAGGGAUCUCAUGUGCUAUGCGGUGUCGGAUUGACAAGAACGAGAGGAAAAAUAAAUUAUGGAACUGGGUAGGUUACUACACUGAUGAUCUAAAGAAAGGCUCAUCGAUGGUUUAAUUUUGUAUACAUGAAUGUCUAAAUUGUUCUUAUGCUGAAUAAAAAUAUUUUUAGUGCAAUAAUAUAAAGAACCGGUGCUUAUAUCAUAACUUUAAAAUACCAGAGAUGAUUUUCCUAUGUGCAUAGGCUGCUCAUGAGUUUGUAGAAAGUAUCAUAAUGUUUAGACCUGAGCCUCUCUGAAAAGACUUGUUGUAAUAAAAUGCUUUAAUAGUAGAGAUAUACGCCAUAUAUGAAGAGAAGACAAAGAAACGAGGCAUGGUUUUAUAUACAUUCGCAUGAUUAAGAAUUUAAUAACUAGAAAAGGUCAAGCACUAUCCUCAAUUUCAGUUUUCGUGGGGCAUGUAUAUUUCUGUUUUCUUUUGUUGGAAAUGCAUGUUCUUGUUAUUUUGUAAGAAAUAAAGCCUGAAGAUCAUAAUAACUCAGAUACAUAUACUGAGCUGCUUGUUAGCUAUUACCUUGUUUAUAAACUUGGUGGAGAACCUAUGUAAACAAUAUCAUCUUAAAAACGUAUUGAUAACAUUUGUUGCGAACAGGUUUAUGUUCUAAAAAGAACGGACCCAACUAACCAUUGAUAAGAUUUAUCGGGAUGCUUGGAUUUGCAGGUUGCUUUAAACUAUGAUAAGUAGUAAAAUGGAGCCGUCUUGGAAGAAAAGGUUUAACUAGAGAAGUUAAAACCUGUUAUUCCACACAAUGGCACUCGGUGGGGAGGAAGGGACAUGGAAGGAUCUGUUGCGGUGUGUAGACUGCAUGAAGAAUUGUUGGGAUCCUGUGUUUGACACAACACAUUCACUGAGCGGAUAUAACAUAAUUUCGUCAAAUAUGUAUAUGUCUUUGUUGUUCCAUACCAAUGGACCUACAGUAGUGUUCAUACACCUACUCACAUACAAUGACCAUGAAUGUGAAGCCAAUACCUCUCAAGCUGUACAAGAUUUUGUCAAGAGAAUAAAACUAUUUUUUCAUGUAGACCCAUGAUCUUAACUAUGUUCACCUUGAGUUUGAGUAUACUUUGUUUUCUAUGAGUGAAUAAGCACUAUUUUGUUGUAACACAAUCAUAAGCAGCAUGUUUUAAUCAAUGUCUUCAUGUUCAAAUUUGUUGUUCCGUGGCAACGUACGGGCAUUCAACUAGUUUAUUAUAAAGACUUAAACCAAAUCACUAGUGGGAAACCUUUUGGAAGGCUUUGUGGAAAAUUCAUGUUCAACAUAUUAUCAGGAUCUUCUGAUGGAGGGUGUUGAAAGGUUUUCUCCGGGGAGUUAAUCAGAAGCAUGUUGUCCUUUUAUGGACAUAGCAAGGAGACACUUUUUCAUGCGCUUGUAAACACGGGCGGAGCCAGCCCAAGUGGCUGGGGACAUUAAUAUUUGGCUAACUGAGGACCCAACUAGUAAAACAUUAGAUUUCAUAGUAAUAAAAUAGGAAUUGACUGGGUGCCGGGGUCCCCACUCAGCCCAACGUGGGUCCGCCCGAGCUUGUAAAAUGUGAUCAUGCGAUGUUGGAUGAGGCAAGGAGUUUCUUUGGCGUAAACCUUCCUCGGCUGCACCCAUUAACUUGGGACAAAUAUAUGCUAAUAGAUCCCCAUGUCAAUCGAUGGAGAUGUUUGCCGCCAUUGCAAUUUUCGUGAUGUGGAAAAUCGAAAAUAGUCUAAACAAAUACGCUCACAAAGAGAUGGUAUAUCAAUUGAAGCGUUUGGUGGAGGUGAUGGAGGAUCUCAUAAGAGCGUUGGACAUCAUGUCGAGUUUCCAUGUUAUGUCACCAGCAAGAGUUAUAUGUAAAUCAAAACGUUCAAAUUCUACUAUAUGUUGCUACAUUUUAGCUUUCUUCAUUAUUGUGUGCCAGCAUAAGCACCUACGUCUAAUAUCACUAGAUUGCCUUUUGCACAAGAUCUCAUUGAAAUCAUGGAUGCAAACCCAAGGGAGAUAGCCAAGAGAGAUGUUCUCCAUGCGAGAAAAUUUCACAGUGUCCCAUUUUUUGUAUGUCCGGCUCCGGGGUUGCUUUAGCAUACAAACAAGAAAGUUGCCAUUGAACUUUGCCCAGUUCCAAGAUAAGUGAGUCAAUGUGCUGGUAUGAAUAGCUAUUUAUUUCAAGACAAAUGGGGUUAUUCCAAAACACACACGUUCCACUACUGUGAUCAUUACUUCCAAAUGCAAAACUACAAUUAAAACCUACCUCCACGUGGCUCUUCAAAAACUGAGUUUCAACUAUAUAAAUGACCAUCAACACAUAUGCCUUCGCGAGAUCAUGAAGCUCAUGAACUGUCAAGGAAUCGCCAAUUCUGUGGCAGUUUCAGCAUAGGGGUUCUCAUUGAUCCUGGCAGCACCCCUCUAGGGAGCCUGUUUUAACUGAUCUACGUGUUCUGUUCUUGGCACCUAUCAUGGAUCUCUUUGUAGCUUGCUUUAGAGGGAGCUUGGGGGAUAAAUAUCGCACCCGACAACGAAACGACCCCACACAUUAGACUAUAUUUCUAGCCUACUAACACAUCAAUUGCAGUUGUGUUCACAUCGUUUGCAUCAGUCAUUGCAGUUUCGAAGUCAUCUUUGUCAUCAACAACCCUCUUUAAGUUUUUUAUCAUCGCCAUCCAUAUCAUCAUCCGAGGGCUCCUACUCCUCUACAAGAUUCUUGUGAUAAAAUGAAUCAAUAUCACCAGGCCGGCCUGAACGACCACCCCGUCUCCCAGAACCACCACGAUCCCGACCACUAGAGGGCCGGCCAGUCUUCAUGCUCCAACUCGCGCGAAGAUUCUUAAAAACAAUCGUCGAGGCGGGAUAUAAGCCAUCACCAUGCUCUUUGUAGACAUGGCCAAAUAUGCAACAGACCAUACACCUAUCCAGUAGCAUCUCGUGCUUUACAACGACCAACUCGCUGCGGUGAGCGUAGAAUAGGAAUUUUGCGCCGAGUGUGUGUUGAGGAAUCAGGGCAGAACAACACAAAUAAUGUGGGCCUUUGCAGGAGGCUGCGCUCAGGAGUGUGGGCUGGGCCCUCAAGCCCACUAUGCGAGCACGGCGACGGCGUCACCCACCUUGAAAUACCCCGCCUUGGCGCCCGACCGUAACCGUCCCAACCAACCUCUUCUCCCCGUCGCCGGAGCACCAAGAUUCCAAGAACCCCACCUCUCCUUCCCCGCUCGGUUUCUCCCUCCACCGCGCACCUCUACUCUCCGGCGUAUCCGGCGACCGAUGGAGCAGUUCCAGACGGCCACCACGUGCGGCUGCGGAGCCGCCAGACCGGCACGUACCUGCACGCCGACGACGACGGGCGUCGCGUCUCCCUCAGCCGGCGGCGCGCGUCGAUGAACGAGGCUUGGGCGGUGCACUUGUUCCAGCCCCCUCAGGCGCAGGUGCGGUACCUACUCCUCCACAGCGCCGCCUACGGUCGCUACCUCGCCUCCACGGACGCGCCGGCGCCGCGCACUUGUUCCAGCCCCCUCAGGCGCAGGUGCGGUACCUACUCCUCCACAGCGCCGCCUACGGUCGCUACCUCGCCUCCACGGACGCGCCGGCGCCGCGAGGCCACAGCGGGCUCCGCGUCGAGCAGUGCGACUACGAGCCGUGGGAGGAGGAGGCCAUCAGGUGGCAGGCCGUAGGGGUCGACUCCGGGAACGACGUCCUGCUCCGCAACGUCGCCGGCCGCCUCCGCGCCAACGGGAGGUACCUCAGCGUCGACGACUUCAACAGCACCGGCACGAUGAUGCACUGGGUCGUGGAGCGCAUCCCCGCCAGGAACGACGCGCCUCGUCUUGCAGCUCCGACUGGGGUGAGUCCGCCAUGCCCGCUGCUGCUUCAUACUUCUCGAACUGCUUUCAGCGGAACUAUCGAUUGGGCGAAUUGGCUUCUUGGAUGCCGUUAAUUUGCGUCAGAAUUCAACCGCGGGGAUUGCAUAUUGCGUCAAUUUCAUUCUCCUGGGAGCAAUUCUUGCCAAAUUUGCGCCAUGCCCGCUUCUUGAUUCUUCCCGAAUUUGGUUCUUGGGGAUUCAGUUGGGGAUUUGUGUUUCCGAUCAAAGAAUUCAGAACAGUACCCUGCUUCGCAUUUGAUGGUUCUUUGGAACUGCAGCUCCGCCUUCCCAGAAGCCUCGACUUCGUGUUGCCGUGGAGGGUGAUACAGUACGAGCAGGAGGGAGCCGAGGAGUCCAAUGUCGGCUUCGCCUGGGAAUCACUCGUAUUCAGGGGCAGGUCCGCAUACCACUUGAGGAAGGAGCUGGCCAGUCGGCUGGGUGUCGCCAUGGACGUCUCCAACCUCGUCAUGUGCGUCCGAGCAGGUAUGCACGGGCGGCUUACCCCACUGGUCGUCGACUUGCCCCACAGCCGCGAGACCCUCGACAUCAUCGUCGUCAUGGCCGGGACGCCAGGUGAGACGCGCCAUUGCCGCAUUAAUUUACAUGAUCAGCUUGUGUUAUGAAACUGUCUGAAGAACACUUUACUGAAACUGUUGUAUUCUGCAUAAUCUUGUGGUCCAUACCUCAUUUGCUAGUGGUCCAUACCUCAUUUGCUGCAUUGACAUGAUCAGCUUGUGCUGGAAAACUGUCUGAAGAACAGUUUUACUGAAACUGUUGUACUGUAUUUUGCAACCUGCUGCUAAUCUUCAGUUAAAAACUGGGAGUUGUCUAGACUCUUGUAGUAUUAGACAUAAGGAGAAGAGUUGAAUGGAAAUAGUUGGUAUCUGCAUUAUGCCUGCUGUAAAGAUGCUAGAAGGUAAUCUGGAUCCAGAUUGUUUGGGGAUAAAAUCAUAACAUAUUCACACUAAACCCUGACACAGAAAUUAUUUCAUAGUACUGUCCUUGAUACAAAUAAUUCAGUUUUCCUAGUUGCUAACUUCCUAGUUCCUAUCCUACUGGCCCAUACUAUUUUCUGCGUUGACAUGAUCAGCUUGUGCAAUGAUACUAUUUUACUGAAAAUGUUGUAUUCUGCAACUGCUGCUAAUCUGCUUCAGUUAGAACUUGGGAGUUGUCUGCACACUCUUGUAGUAUUAGACAUUUGGAGUAUUUGCAUUAUGCCUUCUGUAAAGGUGCUAGAAGGUAAUCUGAAUCAAGUUUGUUUGGGGAUAAAAUCAUAACAUAUAUUCACACUAAACCGUGACACAAAAAUUAUUGGUUUCAUAGUACUGUCCUUGAUACAAAUAAUUCACUUUUCCCAUUUGGCACCAUUAAUUUGUCACUUGUAGAAACUUUGGAACUCUGAUAUCCAACUCAGUAAAGUUAUUUGUACUGUAAAUUCUGUUCGAUUUAGCAUACUAUAAAUUGUUUGAACAACAUGUGAACUAGAUUCAGGUUAUAUCCUACAGUAUUUCAUGAAAGCUUUCUUUCAGGUUUUUGCACAUUAUAUUGUAUUUUUCAGGCUUUUGUGCAUAAGCUGUCUUCUUCGUUAAUUCUGCAACACAUUGAUAUUUAAGUUAUUGGUCUUCUCAAACUGUUGCACUACCUGUGACUUGAUGCCUAAGUUGCUCACUUUCUGUUCUUAUUCAGCUCACGCAGAGCUGCGGUACCCGGAUGUCGGUGCAGAUUAGAGAAAGAUAAGAGCAGGGCUCCUAACAAUCCACCUCUUCAGAAGUGACGCUGCCUCGGACACGAUGACAUGAAAAUUCAGAACUGCAUUUUGCAUUCAGAUAUAGGUUUAGGAAGCGCCUCUUGUGUCUGUUAGCAUAGAUAAACUUGAUUCAGUCCCAAGACAGGAGGAACCUGUCUAUUUUACCUUUGUGGCUCUAAAAUUUCAGAAUUUGUGUGAAGAAAUUAUACAUUGGCAUUGGUCUGUAGUGAUUUCGAACUUAUUCUGGCUGCUACUUCAGGGUUGACUCUGUAAUUUCUCUUAUAUGUCAAUUUGAGAACCUCUGUGAGCAGUUAUGCAAUAACAUUGGUUUGUAGUGGUUGUGUUCUUAACUUGUUAUACCUGCUGGUACUUCAGCGUUGUCGGGUGCAUUUCUCUUAGAUGUCAGCGCUGCUGUUUGAAGUUUCAGUCAUUCAGCAGAAAAUGAAUUUUGCAAGAUAUGUACAGGUCGAUAUUAUUUGCUGCAUUCAAAUGAUCUUUUGGGAUUUAUUUUAAUGGAGCAUUGAUAAGCUUGUGCUGGAAGAUAUAUAGUGAUAAUCUUCAGUUAGGAGUUUACUGAAACUGUUGUAUUCUGCAACUGCUGCUAAUCUUUAGUUAGGAGUUUACUGAAACUGUUGUAUUCUGCAACUGCUGCUAAUCUUCAGUUAGGAAUUUACUGAAACUGUUGUAUUCUGCAACUGCUGCUAAUCUUCAGUUUGUAGUUGGGACUCGUCUGUAUUAAUAUAAGUAGAAGGAGUUGAAUAGAAAUGCUUGGUAUUUGCAUUAUGCGUGUUGUACAAAUGCUAGAAGGUGAUCUGAAGCUAAACUGACUAUUGGGGAGAAAAAUCAUUAUUCAAGUUACAUAUUAACAUUAAACCUUGAUACAGUUUUUUUUUUGUUUCAUACGACUGACACACAUAAUUAAAUUUUCCCAUUUGGAACUCAGAAACCCAACCCAGUCAAGUCUUAGAUUCUCGGCCUUAAACAGAGGACACAUAUUUCUAGUUGAUUUAGCAUACUGUACGUUUUUUGAACAGCAUGCAAACAAAUUCAGGUUAUAUUGAUGAAAUGAUGAUACCAAAUUCAGGUUGUUUUACAGGUUUUAUACAUAAGCUGUCUUCUUAGUCAAUUAUGCAAUGCAGUGAUAUUUAAGUUAUGGAUCCUCUCCACGAUUGCCUACGACAUGAUUCCUUACUCUUUCACUGUCUGGUCUAACAGUCCACGCCGAGUUGCAGUACCCGGAUGUCAAUGCAGAGUAGAGAAAUAUAAGAGCAAGAGUCCACAGUCGCCUGUUUGACCGUCGCCUGACAGUCCCCUGUUCAGAAGUGUCACCGCCUCUGACGCAAUGACAUGAGAAUUCAGAACUGUACAAUUUACAUUGAUAUUUAGGUUUAGGAAUCCUCAGAAGCUCUUGUGAUUCUGCUAGCUGAAAUUGAUUCAUUCUCCUGACAACAAGGUACUGAACUUGCAGAGCCUUUGUUCUCACACGGUGUCAAUAUUGUUUUCUAGAGACAACAGCUUAAGGUAAUCUUGUCUAUCGAAAACAUCUCAAACAACAAGCUUAAUCUAAUCUUGUCUGCACAGUGCGCAGCAACAGAGCUACAGGACUACGAUCAAACAUCUGAAACAACGCAAGAUGAGGUCGAUCCAUCAAUCGGACAACUCGAUCGAUCAGGCAUCGCUGUCGCGGUCGUCGCCGCUGCCGACUCGCCGCUGUCGUUUGAGGCAGUAGUCCCCGGCGUCGACGCCUUGGUUGGCCUUCUCGCACGCGUCGAUCCAGUCGUGAUAGAUGUCGACGGGCUCGGUGAGGUGGUGCGCCGCGGUGUGGUAGGCCUCCUGGCAGACGUAGCAGACGGCGCUGGCGACGUAGAGCUUGAGGUCGAUGGUGCAGGACACGCCGCCGGGGUGGUUGCAGAAGGGGCAGCAGAAGGUGGUGUCCAGCUUCGGCGCCGGCUUCUUCCGCGACGCCAUCUUGGAGCUCAUCGACUUGCGCUUCGCCAUCUCGAUCACCGCACCACCAGAUCGCGAUCGCAGGUAGGAGGUUCCGGCAGCAAAACCAAAACUUCGAGGCGUAGGUGCAGGAGAGAGAGAGAGGCGAUGUGUUGGUAGGGAAAGGAAAGUGUUGGGCGUGCUUAUAAAGGAUGUGCAUGCCCACUCCGACUCCGGCUCCUCUUCGGCGGCAGAAUGAGAAAUGCAUAUGCAUAUGCAUUGCGUGGUGUGGCGGUGCAACGAAGCCAUUACCGAGUCGGAGCCGGAUUCUGCUGGCGCCAAGUCGAAAUGGCCGCACGCGCCGUAUCGCGGGAGCUAGCUAGUCCGCAUGGGCUAUGCAUUUGAGUCCGGCCAGUGCUCUGCGUGGGCGCGCCGGCCGCGGGAUUCACCAACCGCGGUGCGUCUGCAGUGUUAGAUCUCCGUACAACAUUUUUACCCGAUGCAGCAAAAUUUUGAUGCGAUGAAGCAAUUUUCGUCAACGGUUCCAAAAAAAAAUUAUAGCAAAAAACCAUCUACGUGAUCGUAGCAAAAAAACGAAGCUCAUGGUGCGUGGUAGCAAAAAUCAAACGCCGGUUGUAGUAAAAAUCUACGUGUAUGCAACUUUUUUAAUGAACGGUUGCAGCAAAACAUGAUGCCGGUUAUAGCAAAAAUUAACACGGUUGUAGCGAAAGUCAAAACGCCGGUUGUAGCAAAAAUCCAACGAACUCGAGUUGCAACCAACCGUGGAUGCAUAUUUUUAAUGGACAGAUGUAACAAAUGAAAAACGGUAGUAGCAAAAUUAAACAGUGGUUGCAGCAAAAUUACACGAUAUAAAAGUUGCAUCCACUACCAGCGAAGCGCGCACGUGCGAAAAAUGUUGCAUGACCCGCGCGAGCGAGCGAGCGACCGGCACGUCGGUUCCGCCGACACGCCGUAUGGAAACGUUUCCCUUUGAGUCCUCAAGGUUGGAUUACCUCCUUUCAUGGAUUCACUAGUAAAUUUUUAUUGUCAAAGAAAGAUUCAUUAGUAGUACUCCCUUUGUACCUAAAUAUAAGUCUUUCUAGAGGUUUCACUAAAAGACUACAUACAGAUACAUAUAGACAUGCUUUAGAGUGUAGAUUCACUCAUUUUGCUUCGUAUAUGGUCCAUUAGUGAAAUCUCUAAAAAGACUUAUAUUUAGGAAUGGAGGGAGUAGUAGUUUUUUUUAUUAAGAGAGCUUCGUCUUCGAUUUCCAUUAGUACAAAUCUGGACGUUGUUCCAAAUAGUUCAACUUUGUAUUUGUCCCGAUAUUCACCACACGUGUCAUAUUAGACAUGCGCCCGCACGUCCUGUGUGGCGUAAUCAGGAGGCAGCCCACACGGUCAUGUAUGGACGAACAUUAGAACAGUCAACACGUGUGGGCACAAUUACUUCGUGUCAUACGCCCAACAACUACUACUCAUCCUCACUCCGCGCGUGUGACGCGAGGAAAUAUGCCCACACGUCCUGACUGUGACAUCCUCGACUUUUGCUACAGUAGUAAUUGUAAUUAAACUACAGUGAUCAACCGCUGAUGAUGCCACGUCAUCGGAUUUCCAUCUCAGACCCGCGUUGAUUCGAGUUUGUCCGGAUUUCAGAUUUGAAAACAAAUGUAGAGUACGUUAUCAAUUCAUUGCUAAUAUUACAAGAAUAUAUAUGUAAAAACGAGGAAAGUAUUAAAGAAACCAUAAAGAUAAAAGAAAGAAAGAAAACUGAAAGAAGGAAAUAAUAAAAAGAAAAGGGAAAAGAGAAAAUAAAACAAAACAAAUCAAAAAAAAAAAGGAACAACCCCCCCCUACACGUCCGGAGCACCGCCUUCACCCCUCCGGGGCGUGCCACCAUCCAGGCCUGCUACACCACCUCCCCUAAUUAAUCCGGCGGCUGGGGCCCUCCCCAUCCCGCCGGCGGCUCCAUCUCCGGGGGGCCCUCCUCCCUGGCUCCUCCUCGCCGGCACAUCAUCACCGGAACCUCACCGUCACCGUCUCCACCGUCACUUCGCGCGAACUCCGGCUUCACCGGGCCGUCACGUCACCGUCGGUGAGCCCCUCCUCGGGCUCCUCCCACCUUGUCGUUCCCCCCGACGUCACGGUUCCGUUCCGGCAAACGGGGCCUCGAUCCGUCGACGGUGGACUCCGGUAGAAGGAUUCGAAGUUUGUGUUCUUCUAGGUGGAGUUAGAGAGAGUUCUCUGUCUCUGUUAAGUUAACAGAGAGAGAGAGAUGAGUGUUUUGAGAGAAAAAGAAAUAAAAACAAAGGUUGUAUUCCGUAUGUAUGUAUGAGAUGUGAUGUAUGUAUUUGUGUAUUUGGAUAUUUAGAGAAAUACGGUAUUUGAGCGGUUAGGUAUCUAAUAAAAAUAAAUGAGAAAAUAACCUUAAGCCACUUACCGGUGGGGCCAAUGCACCGCUGUCAAUGACAGGGAGGCCCCACGCGAUAAUUAAAAAUAAUGUUUUUCUUAAAUAAAUAAAUAAAUAGAUAUAUUAGUUAUAAUAAUUAAUUAACAUAAUUAGAGUAUGACACGUGGGUCCCUCGUUGAAUUAAUCUGAUUAAUAAAUAUUUAAUCUUAAAUAAAACUUGUGCCAUGACGUUCGGGACCCGCUGGUCAGUUGACCGGUCAAAUGUGAUGUCAGCCUGACAUCGCGAUGAUGUCAUAAUAGGAUUUUACUAAAUCUUUUAAAUCUGUUUUUAAUUCUUAAAUAAUUAAUAAAACUUUAAAAAUUAAUAUUAAAUAAUCCGUAAGUCAGAUCAAAAUAAUUUCAACAUGAAAGUUGAUCAGCAAAGCGAGACGAACCCGGAUACACGGUCCGUUCGUCUGUCACGCGUCCCUAGCAUAGCAAACAUGGAACUUUUCCAUCGUUUCCAGUAUAACCGGUAGUAGCCCGAGACCCGGAAAAUAUCGUCAGAUAUUCUUCCGACCCGUCUAUGACGGAUGUUGCUGCGUUAGCUCAUGUCUAGCCUGCAUAUUUUCAUGUCAUGCUUUGUGUUGCAUCGGUGCUAUUAUUUAUUGUUUGUUCCCCCUCUUCUUACCGGUAGACCCCGAGACUGACGCUGCUGCCGGGUACAUCUACGACCCUGCCGAUCAGUCCAUUGCCGCAGAGCAGCAAGGCAAGCAAACUCCCCUUGAUCAUUCCUAUAUCGCCUAUGUCUUUCUUCCUACUGCUUGCAUUAGUAUUUUGCUACUGUUGUAGUUAGCUCCUAUAUCUGAUGCAUAGCCUGUUUUUGAUGAACUGCUACUUUCAGUCCUGUACCUUUAAUAUGCUUAGUAUAGGUGGAGCAGUCAUCCCCUCUGACCCCGUAGAUCAGUUGCCCCGCUUGUUUCCAAAUCUCGAUCUCUGAUCGACGAGCCAGACCCGACACAGCACGUUCACCCCCCUUCGUUGUACGACGCUACAGGGAUACUAUCGGGUACCGAGGGUGACACCUCGCUAAGUACUCCUGAUGAUAUCUCUGUAGUAUAGCUAGUCGGUCGUGGUUAUCGAGGGUGAUUCCUCUUUCACCAUUCCCGAUGACGUCUCUGUCGUGCCACCCCGCGAGUGUGGGACCCCCGAGGGUGAUUCCUCUAAGCCCACCUUGCCGGGUACGUCGUUCGGAAUCCAACGAGGGUGAUACCUCGGAUUCCCCCGAUGUUACAACCACACAGUUACUCGACCAUGUUACUGGGAUCAUUGGUGUUUAGUUGUAAGACGGGUGGAUUCCCGCGAGACCGUGUUGUUGGCCUAAUUAAAAUGCUAAUGGAUUUGGGUAUUUGAUCUGGGUUGGUCGGAGACCUUUUCGCACUAACCGGCUACGCGGGAAGAAUUAUGGGUACUCGGCGUCGCGGUAUCAGCCGAAGCUUUUCAGAUGCCAGCAGUGUAGCGGCGCGCGCCCGAGUGGUCCCGAGAUGCAUCGCGCUUGUGAUUAAGGGAUGCUAGGACUGACGUCGGCCGCCCACGCCACGUGCAGGAGCGUGAAGGGGAACUGGGCCCAUGAACCCUUUGUGCUUAGGAUAUAGACCGGCGGGCUGGCCUCUCUGAUUAGUCUUAGGUGGGGCUGCGACGUGUCGAUAUUCCGAGGCCGGGCAGGACCCAGAAAAGUAUGUCCGGCCAGAGUGUUAUCGAGCGUGACGGGACAUGUGGUGCACCCCUGCAGGGAUGAAAAUUAACUAUUCGGAUAGCCGUGUCCACGGUUACAGGACGACUUGGAGUUGUGCCCCGAUCUUAUACAACUACAAUUGUUACUUAACUGGAAUUAGUUUGCCUCGGGAUUGCUUCCUCGCAGGGAGUCGAGGGAGGAUCUUCAGGCGUGACCUCACUUUAAUAUUGCUGCAACAAUAUGACUAUUAAUGUGUUACCCCCCCCUGUUCUACUCUCGUCUAUUGCUGCAAGACCCUGAAGAUGCUAGUCUUCGAUAGGACUAGGCAUUCUCUCUCUUUUCUCGCAUUGCUGCAGUCAGUCCACAUAUAACCCCCUUCUUUGAUACUGAUGCAUUAUUAGAAUAGUUCUGAUGUAAGACUUGCGAGUACUUCGGACGAGUACUCACCGCUGCUUUGCUCCCCCCUUGUUCCCUUGGUCCGUUUGCUGCGACCAGAUGAUGAAGCCCAGGAGAUGGAGGUCCCCGCCACCGACGACUGCUACCCCGACGGUGCCUACUACUACGUGGAGGCCGCUGAUGAUCAGGAGUAGAUAGGAGGUUCCCAGGCAGGAGGCCUCGCCUCGUUCGAUCGUUGUAUCUUUUGUGCUAGCCUUCUCUAAGGCACCCCAUGUUUUAUGUCUGUACUCAGAUAUUUGUUGCUUCCGCUGACUCGUGUGCUUAUCGAGCUUUCGUAUUCUAGCCCUCGAGGCCCCUGGCUUGUAAUAUGAAGCUGAUGUUAUUUUAUUUGUGUCUAGAGUUGUGUUGUGAUAUCUCCCCGUGAGUCCUUGGGUUUGAUCGUACGCAUUUGCGUGUAUGAUUAGCGUACGAUUAAGCCGAGGGCGUCACACUGACGCAGCUACGUUACUUACCCGCGGGAUGACACUUUAGUUACUCCGGGAAUGACAACUUUAGUUAUCCGGAAUAGCAAAUGUAGUUGUAAAAGCAUUGCAACUUCUCUGUUUUGGUAAACUAUAUAUAGUUGUCAUGUCUAAUUAACAUUGUAAUUAAACCAUAGUUACCAUGUGUGAUUAAUUAUUUGUCUUUUGUGGUCAAAUAAUAGUUACCAUGUGUGAUUAACUACUUAUCCUAUGUGGUCAAACAAUAGUUACCAUGUGUGAUUAACUAGUUGCCACGUGUGGUCCAAUCAUAGUUUUCAUGUAUGGUUAAUAAUCAUAGUUGCCAUGUGUGUUUACCUAGUUGUCACGUACAUGCAACUGCAGUUGCCAUCUAGCAACGAUUCAUAGUUGUCAUGUGUGUUUACCUAGUUACCACGUACGCAUAACUGUAGUUCCCAUCUAGCAACGAAUCAUAGUUGCCAUUUGUGUUUACGUAAUUGCCAAUGCCACAUAUGUGCAACUACAGUUGUCAUAUAGCAAUGCACGAGCAUUUUGUGGGCGAAGAACAGUUCACCCACACACACGGAUUAGGUGUUUAUUGUGUGGGCGAAAAAUGGUUUGCCCACACGGCGCAGCUGGCAACCGCGCGCUCAACUCUUGAGGAUCUGAUCAAGGAUGUUCGGUGGUUAUCCCUUUUUAGGGUUCGUACUAUGAGACCCUUUAGUCAUGGUGCACUUCUCAACUCUAUGAGGAACGCUUGGGCUUGUGCGGAGGGGGUGACCUUCAACAUUAAGGGACCGAAUCUGUUCCUCGCGCAAUGUCACGGCCUUGGUGACUAGAAGAGGGUUAUGGACAGAGGACCCUGUAGUUUAGAAGAGACCCUGUGGUGUUGGUUGAAUAUGAUGCGUUCACUAAUGUAGCGGAGUAUGCUUUGGACAUGUAUCCACUGUGGGCUAGGAUCAAGGGCCUUCCGGAUGGUUUGACUAGGAAGAAGGAAUUGGUAGAGAAGGUAGCGAAGAAAGUAGGUCAUCCUCCAUUUACGGUCAUAGUUAAUGAAGGGAAGAACAACCCCUCAAGUUUCUUAAGGGUGAAGGUGUUUGUGAAUGUUCAUGAAAUACUCAUUAGAUUUGUCCCAAUUAACUUGAAGGAAAUAAAUAAGUACCCUAUAAGCUAUGAGAAAUUGUCGGACUUCUGCUUCUUCUGUGGUCGUAUGGGGCAUGUUGUGGAGUGUGGGGAUGGUGUUCAUAAUCCCUCUACUUGCGAGUGGGUUGAAUGGCUGCAUUGGAAUAAUGAACCCGCAAGUGGAGUAGGAGGAGGUCAAGGAGGUAGUGAUUUCAGCUUCGGAAGGGGUGGAGGAUUGGGGAGUGGGAGAGGAAGGGGAGGUAGAGGUGAGGGAGGAACUAGCUAGUGCUGGGAGAUGGGGGCGUUCGGGUUUUUCUGAACCAGGUGAUGGGGAUGUGGCUACCCGGGGGUUGAUCUCACCCCUGGUAUUCAUGGGGCGGUUGUGUGGGAGGAUGGAAAGAGAAUCAUGAAGAGAUUGGCGUUCGAGAAUAGAUCUAGUAAUUCUCGGGGCAGGAGCUACCUAAUUUGCGUGGUAUAGUGUCCAGUACUGUUCUCAUGCUCGAGGGUGUUCGGACUUUGACGGCUACUACCUCCUAAGCUGGUGCGACUACACUGAAAAAGAACUCCAUAGUGAAGAGGAGGAGACAAGGCGUGGGAGGAAAUAGAAGUGACAUAAAUAUGACUGACGAGGCGGCAUCCGAGAUGGAAGGACGCCAGCCCCAAUGAUUCUCAUCAGUUGGAACUGUCGGGGUGGGGGGAAUCCCCAUACAGUUCAAGAACUAGCGACGAUCUGGCAGUCGCAUUCCCCAACAUGGUUUUCCUGUGUGACACCAGGCUGAACGCACAGAGGAUGAACAAGUCUCCCGGCGAGUUGUCUGCGAUGCUGAACGGCACAUGGAUGAACUCCGUAAAGAGCAUCAAGUGUUGAUGGUGAGCAAGACCACUAGUUUCAAGAGAAACGGCAAAGGCAAGAAGGGAAAUUCGAAGAAGAGCGGCAAGCCUGUUGCCAAUCCGCCGAAGAAACCCAAGGCUGGACCUAAGCCUGAAACAGAGUGCUUCUAUUGCAAGGGUAUGGGUCACUGGAAGCGCAAUUGCCCCAAGUAUCUGGCAGAUAAGAAGGCGGGCAAAGAAAAAUCAGGUAUAUUUGAUAUACAUGUUAUUGAUGUGUACUUAACCGGCUCUCGUAGUAGUGCCUGGGUAUUCGAUAUCGGUUCUGUUGCUCACAUUUGCAACUCGAAGCAGGAACUGCGGAAUAGACGAAGGCUGGCGAAAGACGAAGUGACGAUGCGCGUAGGAAACGGUUCCAAGGUUGAUGCAAUCGCCGUCGGCACAGUGUCACUUCAACUACCAUCGGGAUUAGUGAUGAACUUAAAUCAUUGUUAUUUAGUGCCUGCGUUGAGCAUGAACAUUAUAUCUGGAUCUUGUUUAUUGCGAGACGGUUACUCUUUUAAGUCUGAGAAUAAUGGUUGUUCUAUUUCUAUGAGUAACAUCUUUUAUGGUCUUGUUCCGAAGAAGGGAGGAUAGUCAUCUUGCCCCUGAGGCAUGGUUCGCACGUGUCAAAUGAAUCAACCUCAAGUGACUCCAAAAGUCCAUAAGCAGCGAGAUUUUUCAUGCGCUUUACACCGGGAUGACCCGAUCGGCAGUGCCAAAAAAAUUCCGCGCUAUCAUUGUUUACUCUAACUCUUUUGGUCUCAAUGUUAUGUAUAUGCGUAUCUCUAUCAAGAUUCAAUAUGAACAAUCCUCUCACAUUCGGUGCAUGACCAUAAAAGAUGUUACUCAUAGAAAUAGAACAACCAUUAUUCUCAGACUUAAAAGAGUAACCGUCUCGCAAUAAACAAGAUCCAGAUAUAAUGUUCAUGCUCAACGCAGGCACUAAAUAACAAUGAUUUAAGUUCAUCACUAAUCCCGAUGGUAGUUGAAGUGACACUGUGCCGACGGCGAUUGCAUCAACCUUGGAACCGUUUCCUACGCGCAUCGUCACUUCGUCUUUCGCCAGCCUUCGUCUAUUCCGCAGUUCCUGCUUCGAGUUGCAAAUGUGAGCAACAGAACCGAUAUCGAAUACCCAGGCACUACUACGAGAGCCGGUUAAGUACACAUCAAUAACAUGUAUAUCAAAUAUACCUGAUUUUUCUUUGCCCGCCUUCUUAUCUGCCAGAUACUUGGGGCAAUUGCGCUUCCAGUGACCCAUACCCUUGCAAUAGAAGCACUCUGUUUCAGGCUUAGGUCCAGCCUUGGGUUUCUUCGGCGGAUUGGCAACAGGCUUGCCGCUCUUCUUCGAAUUUCCCUUCUUGCCUUUGCCGUUUCUCUUGAAACUAGUGGUCUUGCUCACCAUCAACACUUGAUGCUCUUUACGGAGUUCAGACUCUGCGACUUUCAGCAUCGCAAACAACUCGCCGGGAGACUUGUUCAUCCCUUGCAUGUUGUAGUUCAACACAAAGCCUUUAUAGCUUGGCGGCAGUGAUUGAAGGAUUCUGUCAGUGAUAGCUUCUUGCGGGAGUUCAAUCCCCAGUUCAGCUAGACGGUUUGAGUACCCAGACAUUUUGAGCACAUGUUCACUGACACACGAGUUUUCCUCCAUCUUGCAAGCAUAGAAUUUAUCGGAGGUCUCAUACCUCUCGAUCCGGGCGUUCUUCUGAAAGAUAAACUUCAACUCCUGGAACAUCUCAAAUGCUCCAUGACGCUCAAAGCGACGUUGAAGUCCCGGUUCUAAGCCAUACAAGACUGCACAUUGAACUAUUGAGUAGUCCUCCUUACGUGCUAACCAAGCGUUCUUAACAUCCUGAUCAGCCGUAGUGGGUGGUUCAUCUCCUAGCGCAGCAUUAAGGACAUAAUCCUUCUUUCCAGCUUGUAAGAUUAGCUUAAGAUUACGAGCCCAGUCUACAAAGUUGCUUCCAUCAUCUUUCAACUUAGCUUUCUCUAGGAACGUAUUAAAAUUCAGGAUGACACUUGCGUGAGCCAUGAUCUACAACACAAAUAUAUUCAAAGUGGACUUAGACUAUGUUCAAGAUAAUUAGUGUUCAACUUAAUCAAAUUAUAUGCUAAACUCCCACUCAAAAAGUACAUCUCUCUAGUCAUUUGAGUGGUUCAUGAUCCACUUACACUAUCCCAAGUCCGAUCAUCACGUGAGUUGAGUAUAGUUUCAGUGGUAAGCAUCCCUAUGCUAAUCAUAUCAACUAUAUGAUUCAUGAUCGACCUUUCGGUCUCAUGUGUUCCGAGGCCAUGUCUGCACAUGCUAGGCUCGUCAAGCUUAACCCGAGUGUUCCGCGUGCGCAACUGUUUUGCACCCGUUGUAUGUGAACGUUGAGUCUAUCACACCCGAUCAUCACGUGGUGUCUCGAAACGACGAACUGUAGCAACGGUGCACAGUCGGGGAGAACACAAUUUCAUCUUGAAAUUUUAGUGAGAGAUCACCUCAUAAUGCUACCGUCGUUCUAAGAAAAAUAAGGUGCAAAAAAAGAUUAACAUCACAUGCAAUUCAUAAGUGACAUGAUAUGGCCAUCAUCACGUGCUUCUUGAUCUCCAUCACCAAAGCACCGGCACGAUCUUCUUGUCACCGGCGCCACACCAUGAUCAUCCAUCAACGUGUUUCCAUCGGGGUUGUCGUGCUACUUAUGCUAUUACUACUAAAGCUACAUCCUAGCAAAAUAGUAAACGCAUCUGCAAGCACAAACGUUAGUAUAAAGACAACCCUAUGGCUCCUGCCGGUUGUCGUACCAUCGACAUGCAAGUCGAUAUUUCUAUUACAACAUGAUCAUCUCAUACAUCCAAUAUAUCACAUCACAUCGUUGGCCAUAUCACAUCACAAUCAUACCCUGCAAAAACAAGUUAGACGUUCUCUAAUUUUGUCGUUGCAUGUUUUACGUGGUGACCAAGGGUAUCUAGUAGGAUCGCAUCUUACUGACGCAAACACCACAAUGGAGAUAUAUGAGUUGCUAUUUAACCUCAUCCAAGGACCUCCUCAGUCAAAUCCGAUUCAACUAAAGUUGGAGAAACCGUCACUUGCCAGUCAUCUUUGAGCAAAGGGGGUUACUCGUAACGAUGAAACCAGUCUCUCGUAAGCGUACGAGUAAUGUCGGUCCAUGCCGCUUCAAUCCAACAAUACAGCGGAAUCAAGAAAAGACUAAGGAGGGCAGCAAAACGCACAUCACCACCCACAAAACCUUUUGUGUUCUACUCGAGAAGACAUCUACGCAUGAACCUAGCUCAUGAUGCCACUGUUGGGGAACGUCGCAUGGGAAACAAAAAUUUUCCUACGCGCACGAAGACCUAUCAUGGUGAUGUCCAUCUACGAGAGGGGAUGAGUGAUCUACGUACCCUUGUAGAUCGUAUAGCAGAAGCGUUUAGAGAACGCGGUUGAUGUAGUGGAACGUCCUCACGUCCCUCGAUCCGCCCCGCGAACAAUCCCGCGAUCAGUCCCACGAUCUAGUACCGAACGGACGGCACCUCCGCGUUCAGCACACGUACAGCUCGACGAUGAUCUCGGCCUUCUUGAUCCAGCAAGAGAGACGGAGAGGUAGAAGAGUUCUCCGGCAGCGUGACGGCGCUCCGGAGGUUGGUGAUGAUCUCGUCUCAGCAGGGCUCCGCCCGAGCUCCGCAGAAACAUGAUCUAGAGGAAAAACUAUGGAGGUAUGUGGUCGGGCAGCCGUGAGAAAGUCGUCUCAAAUCUGCCAUAAAAGCCCCAUAUAUAUAGGAGGAGGGAGGGGGACCUUGCCUUGGGGUCCAAGGGAUCCCCAAGGGGUCGGCCGAGCCAGGGGAGAGGACUCUCCCCCCCCCAAACCGAGUCCUACCUGGUUUGGUGGGAGGGAGUCCUUCCCCCUUCCCACUUCUUCCUUUUUUUUUUCUUUCCUUUGAUUUUUUCUCUCUUGGCGCAUAGGGCAUUGGUGGGCUGUCCCACCAGCCCACUAAGGUCUGGUGUGACCCCCCCAAAUGCCUAUGGGCUUCCCCGGAGUGGGUUGCCCCCCUCCGGUGAACUCCCGGAACCCAUUCGUCAUUCCCGGUACAUUCCCGGUAACUCCGAAAACCUUCCGGUAAUCAAAUGAGGUCAUCCUAUAUAUCAAUCUUCGUUUCCGGACUAUUCCGGAAACCCUCGUGACGUCCGUGAUCUCAUCUGGGACUCCGAACAACAUUCGGUAACCAACCAUAUAACUCAAAUACGCAUAAAACAACGUCGAACCUUAAGUGUGCAGACCCUGCGGGUUCGAGAACUAUGUAGACAUGACCCGAGAGACUCCUCGGUCAAUAUCCAACAGCGGGACCUGGAUGCCCAUAUUGGAUCCUACAUAUUCUACGAAGAUCUUAUCGUUUGAACCUCAGUGCCAAGGAUUCGUAUAAUCCCGUAUGUCAUUCCCUUUGUCCUUCGGUAUGUUACUUGCCCGAGAUUCGAUCGUCAGUAUCCGUAUACCUAUUUCAACCUUGUUUACCGGCAAGUCUCUUUACUCGUUCCGUAAUACAAGAUCCCGCAACUUACACUAAGUUACAUUGCUUGCAAGGCUUGUGUGUGAUGUUGUAUUACCGAGUGGGCCCCGAGAUACCUCUCCGUCACACGGAGUGACAGAUCCCAGUCUUGAUCCAUACUAACUCAACUAACACCUUCGGAGAUACCUGUAGAGCAUCUUUAUAGUCACCCAGUUACGUUGCGACGUUUGAUACACACAAAGCAUUCCUCCGGUGUCAGUGAGUUAUAUGGUCUCAUGGUCAUAGGAAUAAAUACUUGACACGCAGAAAACAGUAGCAACAAAAUGACACGAUCAACAUGCUACGUCUAUUAGUUUGGGUCUAGUCCAUCACGUGAUUCUCCCAAUGACGUGAUCCAGUUAUCAAACAACAACACCUUGUUCAUAAUCAGAAGACACUGACUAUCAUCGAUCAACUGGCUAGCCAACUAGAGGCAUGCUAGGGACGGUGUUUUGUCUAUGUAUCCACACAUGUAAAUGAGUCUUCAUUCAAUACAAUUAUAGCAUGGAUAAUAAACUAUUAUCUUGAUACAGGAAUUAUAAUAAUAACUAUACAUUUAUUAUUGCCUCUAGGGCAUAAUUCCAACAGUCUCCCACUUGCACUAGAGUCAAUAAUCUAGCCCUCACAUCACCAUGUGAAUUACAUUGUAAUGAAUCUAACACCCAUACAGUUCUGGUGUCGAUCAUGUUUUGGCCGUGGAAGAGGUUUAGUCAACGGGUCUGCUACAUUCAGAUCCGUGUGCACUUUGCAUAUAUUUACGUCCUCCUCCUCGAUGUAGUCGCGGAUGAGGUUGAAGCGUCGUUUGAUGUGUCUGGUCUUCUUGUGAAACCUUGGUUCCUUUGCUAAGGCAAUGGCACCAGUGUUGUCACAGAACAAGGUUAUUGGAUCCAGUGCACUUGGCACCACUCCAAGAUCCAUCAUGAACUGCUUCAUCCAGACACCCUCCUUAGCCGCCUCCGAGGCAGCCAUGUACUCCGCUUCACAUGUAGAAUCUGCUACGACGCUUUGCUUGGAACUGCACCAGCUUACUACACCCCCAUUAAGAAUAAAUACGUAUCCGGUUUGCGACUUAGAGUCGUCCGGAUCUGUGUCAAAGCUUGCAUCGACGUAACCUUUUACGGCGAGCUCUUCGUCACCUCCAUACACGAGAAACAUCUCCUUAGUCCUUUUCAGGUACUUCAGGAUAUUCUUGACCGCCGUCCAGUGAUCCACUCCUGGAUUACUCUGGAACCUACCUGCCAUACUUAUGGCCAGGCUAACAUCCGGUCUAGUGCACAGCAUUGCAUACAUGAUAGAGCCUAUGGCUGAAGCAUAGGGGACAGAGCACAUAUGCUCUCUAUCUUCAUCAGUUGCUGGGCACUGAGUCUUACUCAAUCUCGUACCUUGUAACACUGGCAAGAACCCUUUCUUGGACUGUUCCAUUUUGAACCUCUUCAAAACUUUAUCAAGGUAUGUGCUUUGUGAAAGUCCUAUCAGGCGUUUUGAUCUAUCCCUACAGAUCUUAAUGCCUAGAAUGUAAGCAGCUUCUCCUAGGUCCUUCAUAGAGAAACUUUUAUUCAAGUAACCUUUUAUGCUCUCCAAAAUCUCUACGUUGUUUCCAAUCAGUAAUAUGUCAUCCACAUAUAAUAUUAGAAACUCCAUAGAGCUCCCACUCACUUUCUUGUAAAUACAAGAUUCUCCAACCACUUGCAUAAACCCAAAUGCUUUGAUCACCUCAUCAAAGCGUUUGUUCCAACUCCGAGAUGCUUGCACCAGUCCAUAAAUGGAUCGCUGGAGCUUGCACACCUUGUCAGCAUUUUUAGGAUCGACAAAACCUUCGGGUUGCAUCAUAUACAACUCUUCCGUAAGGAAACCGUUAAGGAACGCCGUUUUGACAUCCAUCUGCCAGAUUUCAUAAUCGAAAAAUGCAGCUAUUGCUAACAUGAUUCUGACGGACUUAAGCAUCGCUACGGGAGAGAAAGUCUCAUCGUAGUCAAUUCCUGGAACUUGUGAAAAACCCUUUGCCACAAGUCGAGCUUUAUAAACGGUCACAUUACCGUCAGCGUCCGUCUUCUUCUUAAAGAUCCAUUUGUUCUGAAUAGCCUUGCGGCCCUCAGGCAGUAUCUCCAAAGUCCACACUUUGUUCUCAUACAUGGAUCCUAUCUCGGAUUUCAUGGCUUCUAGCCAUUUGUUGGAAUCUGGGCCCACCAUUGCUUCUUCAUAAUUUGCAGGUUCAUUGUUGUCUAACAACAUGAUUGAUAAGACGGGAUUACCGUACCACUCUGUAGCAGCGCGUGAUCUCGUCGACCUGCGUGGUUCAACAGAAACUUGAACUGGAGUUUCAUGAUCAUCAUCAUUAACUUCCUCCUCAACCGGCGUCGCAAUGACAGAGGUUUCCCCUUGCCCUGCGCCACCAUCCAGAGGGAUGAGAGGUUCGACAACCUCGUCAAGUUCUAUCUUCCUCCCACUCAAUUCUCUCGAGAGAAACUCCUUCUCGAGAAAAGUUCCGUUCUUAGCAACAAACACUUUGCCCUCGGAUUUGAGAUAGAAGGUGUACCCAACUGUCUCUUUUGGGUAACCUAUGAAGACGCACUUUUCCGCUUUGGGUUCCAGCUUUUCAGGCUGAAGCUUUUCGACAUAAGCAUCACAUCCCCAAACUUUUAAGAAACGACAACUUUGGCCUUUUGCCAUACCACAGUUCGUAUGGUGUCGUCUCAACGGAUUUCGAUGGUGCCCUAUUUAAAGUGAAUGCAGUUGUUUCUAAUGCAUAACCCCAAAACAAUAACGGCAAAUCAGUAAGAGACAUCAUAGAUCGCACCAUUUCUAACAAAGUACGAUUACGACGUUCGGACACACCAUUACGCUGUGGUGUUCCAGGCGGUGUUAACUGCGAAACAAUUCCACAUUGUCUUAAGUGAGUACCAAACUCGAAACUUAGAUAUUCACCCCCACGAUCAGACCGUAGGAACUUGAUCUUCUUGUUACGAUGAUUUUCCACUUCACUCUGAAAUUGCUUGAACUUUUCAAAUGUUUCAGACUUGUGCUUCAUCAAGUAGACAUAACCAUAUCUACUUAAAUCGUCAGUGAAGGUGAGAAAAUAACGAUAUCCGCCGCGUGCCUCCACGCUCAUUGGACCACACACAUCGGUAUGUAUUAUUUCCAACAAGUCACUUGCACGCUCCAUUGUUCCGAAGAACGGAGUCUUAGUCAUCUUGCCCAUGAGGCAUGGUUCGCACGUGUCAUGUGAAUCAUAGUCAAGUGACUCGAAAGUGCAUCACCAUGGAGUUUCUUCAUGCGCUUUACGACACUGAUACCCAAGCGGCAGGGCCUAAGAAAUAUGGCGCUUUCAUUGUUUACUCUAACUCUUUUGGUCUCAAUGUUAUGUAUAUGCGUAUCUCUAUCAAGAUUCAAUAUGAACAAUCCUCUCACAUUCGGUGCAUGACCAUAAAAGAUGUUACUCAUAGAAAUAGAACAACCAUUAUUCUCAGACUUAAAAGAGUAACCGUCUCGCAAUAAACAAGAUCCAGAUAUAAUGUUCAUGCUCAACGCAGGCACUAAAUAACAAUGAUUUAAGUUCAUCACUAAUCCCGAUGGUAGUUGAAGUGACACUGUGCCGACGGCGAUUGCAUCAACCUUGGAACCGUUUCCUACGCGCAUCGUCACUUCGUCUUUCGCCAGCCUUCGUCUAUUCCGCAGUUCCUGCUUCGAGUUGCAAAUGUGAGCAACAGAACCGAUAUCGAAUACCCAGGCACUACUACGAGAGCCGGUUAAGUACACAUCAAUAACAUGUAUAUCAAAUAUACCUGAUUUUUCUUUGCCCGCCUUCUUAUCUGCCAGAUACUUGGGGCAAUUGCGCUUCCAGUGACCCAUACCCUUGCAAUAGAAGCACUCUGUUUCAGGCUUAGGUCCAGCCUUGGGUUUCUUCGGCGGAUUGGCAACAGGCUUGCCGCUCUUCUUCGAAUUUCCCUUCUUGCCUUUGCCGUUUCUCUUGAAACUAGUGGUCUUGCUCACCAUCAACACUUGAUGCUCUUUACGGAGUUCAGACUCUGCGACUUUCAGCAUCGCAAACAACUCGCCGGGAGACUUGUUCAUCCCUUGCAUGUUGUAGUUCAACACAAAGCCUUUAUAGCUUGGCGGCAGUGAUUGAAGGAUUCUGUCAGUGAUAGCUUCUUGCGGGAGUUCAAUCCCCAGUUCAGCUAGACGGUUUGAGUACCCAGACAUUUUGAGCACAUGUUCACUGACACACGAGUUUUCCUCCAUCUUGCAAGCAUAGAAUUUAUCGGAGGUCUCAUACCUCUCGAUCCGGGCGUUCUUCUGAAAGAUAAACUUCAACUCCUGGAACAUCUCAGAUGCUCCAUGACGCUCAAAGCGACGUUGAAGUCCCGGUUCUAAGCCAUACAAGACUGCACAUUGAACUAUUGAGUAGUCCUCCUUACGUGCUAACCAAGCGUUCUUAACAUCCUGAUCAGCCGUAGUGGGUGGUUCAUCUCCUAGCGCAGCAUUAAGGACAUAAUCCUUCUUUCCAGCUUGUAAGAUUAGCUUAAGAUUACGAGCCCAGUCUACAAAGUUGCUUCCAUCAUCUUUCAACUUAGCUUUCUCUAGGAACGUAUUAAAAUUCAGGAUGACACUUGCGUGAGCCAUGAUCUACAACACAAAUAUAUUCAAAGUGGACUUAGACUAUGUUCAAGAUAAUUAGUGUUCAACUUAAUCAAAUUAUAUGCUAAACUCCCACUCAAAAAGUACAUCUCUCUAGUCAUUUGAGUGGUUCAUGAUCCACUUACACUAUCCCAAGUCCGAUCAUCACGUGAGUUGAGUAUAGUUUCAGUGGUAAGCAUCCCUAUGCUAAUCAUAUCAACUAUAUGAUUCAUGAUCGACCUUUCGGUCUCAUGUGUUCCGAGGCCAUGUCUGCACAUGCUAGGCUCGUCAAGCUUAACCCGAGUGUUCCGCGUGCGCAACUGUUUUGCACCCGUUGUAUGUGAACGUUGAGUCUAUCACACCCGAUCAUCACGUGGUGUCUCGAAACGACGAACUGUAGCAACGGUGCACAGUCGGGGAGAACACAAUUUCAUCUUGAAAUUUUAGUGAGAGAUCACCUCAUAAUGCUACCGUCGUUCUAAGAAAAAUAAGGUGCAAAAAAAGAUUAACAUCACAUGCAAUUCAUAAGUGACAUGAUAUGGCCAUCAUCACGUGCUUCUUGAUCUCCAUCACCAAAGCACCGGCACGAUCUUCUUGUCACCGGCGCCACACCAUGAUCAUCCAUCAACGUGUUUCCAUCGGGGUUGUCGUGCUACUUAUGCUAUUACUACUAAAGCUACAUCCUAGCAAAAUAGUAAACGCAUCUGCAAGCACAAACGUUAGUAUAAAGACAACCCUAUGGCUCCUGCCGGUUGUCGUACCAUCGACAUGCAAGUCGAUAUUUCUAUUACAACAUGAUCAUCUCAUACAUCCAAUAUAUCACAUCACAUCGUUGGCCAUAUCACAUCACAAUCAUACCCUGCAAAAACAAGUUAGACGUUCUCUAAUUUUGUCGUUGCAUGUUUUACGUGGUGACCAAGGGUAUCUAGUAGGAUCGCAUCUUACUGACGCAAACACCACAAUGGAGAUAUAUGAGUUGCUAUUUAACCUCAUCCAAGGACCUCCUCAGUCAAAUCCGAUUCAACUAAAGUUGGAGAAACCGUCACUUGCCAGUCAUCUUUGAGCAAAGGGGGUUACUCGUAACGAUGAAACCAGUCUCUCGUAAGCGUACGAGUAAUGUCGGUCCAUGCCGCUUCAAUCCAACAAUACAGCGGAAUCAAGAAAAGACUAAGGAGGGCAGCAAAACGCACAUCACCACCCANNNNNNNNNNNNNNNNNNNNNNNNNNNNNNNNNNNNNNNNNNNNNNNNNNNNNNNNNNNNNNNNNNNNNNNNNNNNNNNNNNNNNNNNNNNNNNNNNNNNNNNNNNNNNNNNNNNNNNNNNNNNNNNNNNNNNNNNNNNNNNNNNNNNNNNNNNNNNNNNNNNNNNNNNNNNNNNNNNNNNNNNNNNNNNNNNNNNNNNNNNNNNNNNNNNNNNNNNNNNNNNNNNNNNNNNNNNNNNNNNNNNNNNNNNNNNNNNNNNNNNNNNNNNNNNNNNNNNNNNNNNNNNNNNNNNNNNNNNNNAGUUACGUUGCGACGUUUGAUACACACAAAGCAUUCCUCCGGUGUCAGUGAGUUAUAUGAUCUCAUGGUCAUAGGAAUAAAUACUUGACACGCAGAAAACAGUAGCAACAAAAUGACACGAUCAACAUGCUACGUCUAUUAGUUUGGGUCUAGUCCAUCACGUGAUUCUCCCAAUGACGUGAUCCAGUUAUCAAGCAACAACACCUUGUUCAUAAUCAGAAGACAUUGACUAUCAUCGAUCAACUGGCUAGCCAACUAGAGGCAUGCUAGGGACGGUGUUUUGUCUAUGUAUCCACACAUGUAAAUGAGUCUUCAUUCAAUACAAUUAUAGCAUGGAUAAUAAACUAUUAUCUUGAUACAGGAAUUAUAAUAAUAACUAUACAUUUAUUAUUGCCUCUAGGGCAUAAUUCCAACACCAUCGUCGUGUUCCGAUCAUAUUGUUGUGGUUCUUAAAGGGUCUGUAGACCCAGGUCCAUCGAGAGCAAAAGCUAGAAGAUAUGAACUUUUCUCGGAGAGAGAUGAGUCGCUAGCUCCCAGAUGUGAUAAAAUCUGCGUGGGAUGCGGUAGGGGCUGUGCGCAAUCUGAGCCAGCUUAAAGCAGCCCUGCCAAGAUGAUGCGGACAUUAGGUACAUGGAGCAAAAAAAAUCGGCAAUGUGACUAGGGAGCUUGCUAAAUCGAGGUCGUAGCUGGAGGAACUCAUGCAUAUGAACGCUGACCAACACAACAUCCCGUUAGUAACAGAUAGAAUGAAUGAGCUCCUCUACCAAGAGGAAAUGUUAUGGCUCCAGAGAUCGCGGGUGUCUUGGUUGAAAGAGGGGAACAAAACAGUAAUUUAUUCCACAGUAAAGCGGUAUGGAGAGCUCGGAAGAACAAGAUUUGCUAGCUAACGAACAGUAUGGGCGUGGUUCACUCGGAGAUGGCAACGAUGGGGAAACUUGUGAACGAGUAUUUCCAUGAUAUAUUCUCGACAGAUUUUACCCUUGAUGAUGCACCGAUUUUAGAUCUUGUCGAGUCUAAGGUUUCACCAGAAGAGAAUGAAGUACUCUGUGCUCAAUUCACAGACAAGGAGAUCUCGGAUGCGCUCUUCCAAAUUGGCCCUCUUAAAGCCCCGCGUCCGGAUGGCUUCCCCGCCAGGUUCUUCCAACGAAACUGGGGUGCGUUAAAGGAGGGAGUAAUUGCUGUGGUGAAGGAUUUCUUUGCGUCCGGAGCAAUGCCGGAGGGGGUAAAUGCCAUGUUUAUUGUCCUUAUUCCAAAAAUUUCUAACCGUGUGAAGGUUUCUGACUACAGGCCCCUUUUGUCUUUGCAAUGUAAUUUACAAAGUGAUUUUAAGUGCCUGGUGAAUCAACUUUGGCCCCUCUUGGAUAAUCUGGUGUCUCCGGAGUAGAGUGUGUUUAUUCCUGGUAGAAUAAUCAGUGACAAGCAUUAGUGGCUUUUGAAUGUCUUCACUAUAUCAAGCAGGAGAAGGACCCAUCUAAAAGAUUUCGUGCUUACAAGUUGGAUCUAUCGAAGGCUUAUGAUAGGGUGGAUUGGGUGUUCUUCAAGCAGAUGAUGCAAAAGAAGGGUUUCCAUCAACGAUGGAUUGAUUGGAUCAUGAUGUGCGUCACAUCUGUGAGGUAUACAGUUAAAUUAAAUGAGACUCUCUUGGAUUCAUUUGCACCAUCGCGUGGUCUUCGGCAAGGAGAUCCACUCUCCCCUUUUUUAUUGAUGUUGAUUGCGGAUGGUCUGUCUGAGUUACUAAGGAAUAAAGUUGGGUCGGGUGUGAUCACCCGUGUUAAGGUAUACACAGGUGCCUGUCGUGGUAUUUCCGGGACAGUUGUCAGGGGGGGUGGCUUAAAGAGGUGAGAGCAAGACCGUUGUGGAGAUCCGGAAUGGGUUGGGCAACAACACGCGGUGGUUUACCCAGGUUCGGGGCCCUCGCGUGGAGGUAACACCCCUACUCCUGCAUGUGUGUAUAUAUGGAGAGUAUAUCGUUGUACAUGGGGCUCCUUGAGCUGUAUGGAGAAGGAAGAAGGAGGCAGCCCGCAAAGACAUUGAAAGAGCACUCGGUGUUUUGCAAUCUAGGUUUGCCAUUGUCCGUGGUCCUGCUCGUUUUUGGGAUAAGAGAACCUUGAAGAACAUCAUGACAUGUUGUGUUAUCCUGCACAAUAUGAUUCUUGAAGAUGAGAGAGGAUUGAACUUAGAAUUCUUUUACGACAAUGUGGGUAGCCGUGUCAACAAACAGCCGAAAACAAACUGCAUUAGAGCUUUUAAUCACAAUACCAUGAUCAUCGACAUUCCAGACACCCACUUUCAACUUGUCAAAGAUACAAAAGAACACCAUUGGCAAGCCCUUGAACAGUGGUGUUAUUUGAUAUUCUUGACAAAGUGAUGAAUAAUGUUUGUAAUGCGGAUGAUUAUUGUAUUGUGUUUGAUUCGAAUAAUUCAGUUUGUUUUCGGCUGUUGAAUUAUGUUGUAUUUGAUAUUUGCGGGCUGAUGAGCAUAUGAAUAAAGAAAUUCAGCAAACACUGAAGGUCAUUUUGCAGAACAUGACAAUCAAUCAGAAAUCAGAAGUGGUGACUCCGAGCCCUCUACCUACAAAUUCAUUACCUGUAGUGCUCAUUCAUUACCUGUAGUUAUCCUCACUAUAUAUUCUUUUAUGUGGUACUAUGCAGAAUGAAGAUGUAUGAGAUGAAAAAGUUGGACGUUAAGACAUUGGGUUCAUCGACCCAAAUACUAUUAAUGAAGAGACAUAGACACGUAAAUGGGAACGAGAAGACACAGAGAAAAGCUUGGUAGAGUUCUUGGUGCGACUAAGUAUCCAACAAUAAAUACUACUUCCUCACAACUUCGGGUGAGUGACACUGUCUUGUACUACAAAUUCUGUUUUUGCUUACUCUAGAUUUUAAUAAGUGUAGUUGAUGAGUUAUAUAUGCAUAUGCCCGCUUAAUUAUACAAACGUGUGCGCAUGCAGUUUUCAAUGGAUCGUGCUAAUCAUUGAAGUUGACGAGGGAAAAAUUCUAGUACUGGACUCACUACUUAAAGACGAUAGAGACUACACAAAUAGUGAAGGGGAUGAUCGAUAGGCAAUUUCAAUCAUUAUCGAACUAUAUGUCGUCCUCUUUAGAUCAUUUCCUGAUAUCAACUAAUUAAUAACUCCUUUAUUCAUUUUCUAUGCCGGCGGACAAGGCUUGGGAAAAGUUCAUCAAACAGGUUGAAGGCCGAUGGAAACAAAAAUUGAAAUGGGUGCGAUCCAGGGUAAUUAAUUAAGUAGUACUAGCUAGCUACCAUCUCUUCAAUUUUAGUUUCAAUACCAUUAUCAUGCUUGAUUAAUUAUUACCUGAUUGAAUUCUAUUCUCGUAAAGUGCCUCAGGCAGGCGUCGGGAAAUAAUUUAUGUGCAUACUAGGUUUGCGAGAACAUUCGCAUGAUGACGUUCGAAAGGUCCAAAAGUGAUAGACAACUUUGGGUAUGUUUGCCAAAACACUAUUCACAAUUCUUUUUAUCAUGAUCUAAUAUACAUACACACACCUAAUAUAUUCAUAUUGACCUUCUUUUGUAAUAAAGAUGCAAGACAGGAAGGAUCAGCUCCUACCAACGGAUCGCGUACGAGCAAUUCAAAAGGAAAUAACAGGAUUUUUGCUCGAUCAGGUCAUAGAUCCCAAAGGAGAAUACCACUACAAGCUGUAAUGCCUCCAUGUAUUAAUUUGCAAAUUGUAGGAGAAAAAAAUAAUAUAUAUACAUAUAUAUAUGUGUGUGUGUGUGUAUGUGAAUGGUCGUGCGAGAAAUUCGAUAAUAUAUAUAUAUAUAUAUAUAUAUAUAUAUGAUAGGUUCUACGAGAAUUUUUUAUUUUGGAUAUGCAUAAUGUGUACAAUAUGUAGUAGCGUAAAAUAUGUUUGAAAUAAAAAGAAUUAAAUGAUAACACAAAUUAAAAGAAAAAUUAAACCAGAAACCUAAAACCCCAAAACCUGUUAGUCCCGAUUGGUGUAACCAACCGGGACUAAAGGCCCCAUCCCCGGUGCGGGCUUGUGCUACAUGGUGGGCAUUCGGUCCUGCUUCGUGAUGAACCGGCACUAAAGAGGAGGGAGGGGGCUUUAGUCCUCACCCUUUAGUGCCGGUUGCAGAACCGGCACUAAAGGUCCUUACGAACUGGAACUACUGCCUGAUUCUGCACGAGUGCACCAAUACCCAACACACUUGGGGGGGGGGGAGGAGGGAGGACACCACUUCGAGACUGUCGUCGGCCUUCGACGAGUCUUCCCAAAGCCCAUGGCCACGCGAGGUCAUGUGACGCCAUGCCUGUGGUUACCGGCACCGAUCCAUGCACCGACGUACAUGUAUCGCGACCACCACCAUCGAGCACCGUAUCCGCGAAGGGUGCCCGAGCAUCCUUGCAAGCACAUCCCGGGUCAAUCCCAACCUCUCCUAUCCAAAGCAAAAGCUUUAAACCGCCUCGGACCCCAAUCUGAUCCGUCCGAGCACGAAUCCUAGAUCUGAACACCACCGGCGUCCGCCCAGCCCCACGCAUCUUAAGAACAGAUCCAGGAGAAGGAGCCUCGCCACCGCCGCCCCACGUCACGUGAAGAAGCCUCGCCACCGCACCAGCACAACCACGCUAGGGAUGCUCCGCCAGCAGCAGAACGUGAACAAGAGAGACCGGCAGCUCGAUCUAGUUCCUGGUGAGGAACGGCGGUCCUUUUUUUCCGGUGGUGGAUAUUUCAUGCCAUCAUGGAAUCCCACUAGGCACAUUAAUUUCGCAUGAUGCCCCGUGCGCGAAACAAUUGAAAGCAUUCAUUUCGCAUUUUUGAUUGGACGACCAGGCUACAGAGUCACGUUUGCGCCCUCGAGUUUAACUUUGCAUGGACAAAUGAGUGAGCGGGAAACACACUAGUAGGUGAUUAAGUCACGUGUGCGCCUUCGUCCUCUCCAUCGGUGGGCGAGUACAUGCAACCGUCCAAGAAACCCUCUAGAAACUCCCCGCACAUGCACCGUCCAGCCCACAAACCCACAAAAUACGCAUAUCCUUUCCCCGGCUAAAUGUCUAGUCCAUUUGAAGAUAAGAGCUCGUUCCCAAAACUAAAGGCCCGUCCAACUCAGUCCAUUCUCCCUUAGGUUCACCAUAACACAAAGACAGAUCAACACCCUCUCCUUCCUCGCUACUCUCCUCCACUAGUGGAAAACGGGCCUUUCGCCUGUACCCUUUAGUCCCGGCCUUCAUCUGGGCCGGGACUAAAGGCCCGGCCACGUCGCCCAAAAUCGCAAUGCCGCCCACGAGACUUUGGUCCCGGCCCGUAAGGAGCCUUUAGUCCCGGUUUGUGUCUCAAACCGGGACUAAAGGGCUACGCGGUGUGCAGCCCGCAUGUGCGCCACCUUUAGUCCCGGUUUGUGUCUCAAACCGGGACUAAAGUCCUCUGCCUAUAUAUAUUGGCCACAGCCCUCCUCUCCCCUCUUCCUUGCAUUUUUCUUGGAUGGAAGAGUGUGGGUGUGUGCUAGCUCUCCAUUUUUCUUGGAUGCACUAGAGGUGUUUGUUGAAAUGUGUGUUAGAGCGAUGCCGCUUCAGUUCACCGAACACAACUACGAUAUGAGAUGCCCGAGCCACGCUUAAACCUCUUCCUCUUUAUUUCUACUUAUUCUAAAAGGUUAGCAACUAUAUUUCCUCGUUUAGACCGUGCGGUACUAAUUUUUAGGAUCGUGAUUGUAUUUGAUAUACUGUCGUAUAACGCAGAUGAGCCAUCCAUGGAUGUACGGUGAUCGACGCACAGCCGUUUACAGAGAAGGCGUGCAUUCUUUUCGAGAUGCAGCCGAUGCGAACAAGAAUGGUGGUGGCUAUAUGUUUUGUCCAUGUGUUGAAUGUCGGAAUGAGAAGGAUUACACUUCCUCAAGAGUCAUUCAGAGCCACCUGCUUCGGUCCGGUUUUAUGUCGGGCUAUAAUGUUUGGACCAAGCACGGAGAAAGAGGGGUUAUGAUGGAAGACGACGAUGAAGAAGAAGAGAACGAUGAUGACAAGUAUCGAUCUAUGUUCCCUGAGUAUGCUGAUACCGCAAUGGAAGACAAUGAAGAAGAAGAUCAGGAUGAAGAACGGGAACCAGAUGAGCUCGAUAAUGAUCUUGGCCGGGUCAUUUCUGAUGCACGGCGAGGUUGCGACACAGAAAAGGAGAGGUUGCAGUUCGAGCAGAUGUUACAGGACCAUAACAAAUUGUUGUACCCAACUUGUGAAGAUGGCCAGAAGAAGCUGGGUAGCACACUGGAAUUGCUGAAGUGGAAGGCAGAGACCGGUGUGACUGACUCGUCAUUCGAAAAGUUGCUGGUACUGAUGAAGAAGAUGCUUCCAAGAAAGAACGAAUUGCCCGCCAGCACGUACGAAGCAAAGAAGCUUGUCUGCCCUCUAGGAUUAGACGUGCAGAAGAUACAUGCAUGCCCUAAUGACUGCAUCCUCUACCGCGGUGAGAAGUACGAGAAUAUGGAUAAAUGCCCGGUAUGCACUGCAUUGCAGUAUAAGAUCAGAAAAGAUGACCCUGGUGAUAUUGAGGGCGAGCCACCCAGGAAGAGGGUUCCUGCCAAGGUGAUGUGGUAUGCUCCUAUAAUACCACGGUUGAAACGUCUGUUCAGAAAUAAAGAUCAUGCGAAGUUGUUGCGAUGGCACAUGGAAGAUCGUAUGAAAGACGAUAAGUUGAGGCACACCGCUGAUGGUCAGCAGUGGAGAAAAAUCGAGAGAGAGUUCCCGAGAUUUGCAGCUGACGCAAGGAACUUAUGGUUUGGUCUGAGUACAGAUGGCAUGAAUCCUUUUGGGGAGCAGAGUUGCAGUCACAUCACCUGGCCCGUUACUCUAUGUAUCUACAACCUUCCUCCUUGGUUGUGCAUGAAGCGGAAGUUCAUUAUGAUGCCAGUGCUUAUCCAAGGUCCAAAGCAACCCGGCAACGAUAUUGAUGUGUACCUAAGGCCAUUAGUUGAUGAACUUUUACAGCUGUGGGCCGAACUAGGUGUACGUGUGUGGGACGAGCACAAACAAGAGGAAUUUGACCUUCGAGCGUUGCUUUUCGUAACCAUCAAUGAUUGGCCUGCUCUUAGUAACAUUUCAGAACAGUCAAACAAGGGAUACAAUGCAUGCACGCACUGUUUGGAUCAGACAAAAAGUAUAUAUCUGGACAAAUGUAGGAAGAAUGUGUAUCCGUACAAUCAUCGUUUUCUUCCGCCCAAGCAUCCCUUAAAGAAAAAAGGCAAGCAUUUCAAUGGCAAGGCAGAACCCCGGGGGAAGCCUGUCAUCCGUACUGGUGCUGAAGUAUUUGAUAUGGUCAAAGUUUAAAAGUAAUCUUUGGAAAGGGUCCUGGCAGCCAACCUGUUCCUAACGGCCCUGAUAAGCGCGUUCCCAUGUGGAAGAAGAAAUCUAUAUUUUGGGAGCUACCCUACUGGGAAGUCCAUGAGGUCCGCUCGGCAAUCGACGUGAUGCACCUGACGAAGAAUCUCUCCGUGAAUACUAGGCUUUCUGGACUUGUAUGGGAAGUCAAAAGAUACACCGGAAGCACGGGAGGACCAGGAACGUCAUAAAGGAAGAGAUGGCAUGCAUCCAGGGCAGUUUCAAGGGCGUGCCAGCUACGCUCUUACUAAGGAAGAGAAGGAAAUCUUCUUUGAAGUCCUUUUCAGUAUCAAGGUCCCGAGUGGCUUCUCGUCGAAUAUAAAGGGAAUCGUAAAUAUGAAAGACAAAAAAUUACAAAACCUAAAGUCUCAUGACUGCCACGUGCUUAUGACGCAAUUGCUUCCGGUUGCAUUGAGGGGAAUUCUACCGGAAAAUGUUCGCCUGGCAAUUGUGAAGGUAUGUGCAUUCCUCAAUGCAAUUUCUCAGAAGGUAAUCGAUCGAGAAAGUCUAUCAGGGUUACAGAUUGAUGUGGUCCAAUGUCUGGUCAACUUUGAGUUGUUGUUCCCGCCAUCCUUCAUCAAUAUAAUGACACACCUCCUAGUUCACCUAGUCGAAGAGAUUAGAAUUCUCGGUCCUGUGUUUCUACACAAUAUGUUCCCCUUCGAGAGAUUCAUGGGAGUCUUAAACAAAUAUGUUCGUAACCGUGCUAGGCCAGAAGGAAGCAUCUCCAAGGGCUAUGGAACAGAGGAGGUCAUUGAGUUUUGUGUGGACUUUCUUCCAGACCUUAAGCCGAUUGGUGUUCCUGAAUCUCGGUAUGAGGGUAGGCUGACAGGAAAAGGCACACUAGGAAGGAAAGCAAAAGUAUGUAUGGACAGGCAUUCUUUCUCUCAAGCACACUACACAGUUCUACACAAUUCCACCGUGGUGGCUCCGUAUAUCGUGCGACUGUAAGUGCAUCUAGUGCCCCUUAGUGAUUUUGGUGGUUUGAAGACUUAUAGGUUAAGUAUCUAAUGCGUUUGUGAGUGUACACAGGAUCUAUAAGUCAUUGAGGAGUUUGAGAUAUUUGAAGAAUAUCGACCCCUAAAAAUAUAUGUCUUUAGUUGAAGAAGUUAGUCUGAAGCUGAAGAAAUGAAUCGCGAGGAAUCUGCGAUGAAAUUGAUAUUCCUCAUGAAGAUACUGAUAUUGAGAAGUCCGGUGGUUCCUCAAGAAAAUCAUUCUGAAGAAUUCGAAGCAUGAAGAUUUACACUUUCUGUUUUACUUUCUUCGCAUUUGAGUAAUAGGAACACCGUACUGUUAAAGGGGGGGUCGAAGUUACACUAUGGAAUGAAUUUCCCCAUGAUGCUCAACCCAAGCCUAAUCCUACCAAAGUCCUCAAGUGAGGAAUAUGAGUGACAUGAGGACUCUCACAGUUGAGGGUUCCGACCGUUUCGAUAACCACGCCAAGUCAUUGGUCUUAUCCACUCCAACGGUCAUAUUAUUUAAGGGCAUUAGUGUCAAAUCAUGUCGGGAUGCUCCCAGGCUAUAAAUAGCCACCCCCACAACCACUAGCUGGUUGGCUGCUCCGUUAGAAACUGACACUUGUCAUAAGAGCAACCCAAAUUCCUCAGAGCCUUCGAGAGUAAAUCAUCAGUGAGGAAAUACACCACCCACCGAAACCACAAACCAAACCUAGUGAUUGAGCAUCACUAAAGAAGUUGUUCCUGUGUGGGACUGAAGCCUUUUACCUUUGAGGACUGUGCAUCCUCUAGACGGUUAGGCGUCAUGGUCUAGAGCAAUCCAGCAGUCAAUUGUGGAUCGCCGGGUGACCAAGUUUGUGAGGGUUUGGAAGUCUGCCCUGAAGACUUACCACGAGUGUUGGGCGAGGACUGUGUGUCCUUAGCUGAAGGAGAAUACGGUAGGGACCGUGUGUCCCGGGACUGGGUGUCCUUUGGUUUCAAUACCAAGCCGCUCCAAACCAGAUGUACAACUGUCAGAGCAGUUGGAACUGGGUCAUCAACAACAGUCUUCACUGAGAAACGGGUUCUGAUUCCUCAACUCUUUACUUUUCUUGUAUUGUGUGUUGAUGACUUUCACUGUGACUGUUUGAAGAAUUUGCUGAAGACUUUCUCUGAAUUUCCUCAACCCCAAAUUCUUCACGAUAGUUAAUCUUCAUCUGUAUUCUGCGUGCCUGCUUACUGUGCAAUCUGUUUUCACAUUCUUCACUCUGAAAUACUGCUGUUGUGAAUGUUUGCACGUCUGAUCCUUUACUGUUCCCGCUGUAAGUUAGUCAUCAGUGAGGAAUUUCCUCAAAAGGAAUUUCCUGAGUGAUGAAAUUCUAAAAAUCUCCUAUUCACCCCCCUCUAGUCGAUAUAACGCACUUUCAAUUGGUAUCAGAGCAAGGUACUCCCUUGUUUUGUGUAAUUUUGGUUUAACCACCUGGAGUUUUAGUUAUGUCGACUGUAGGCAUGUUUAAGGUGACUGCAACAUGUCCUACCUACGAAGGAAAGAACUUUCCCUUCUGGAAGAACAAAAUGCAAAUGCAUUUACAAGCUAUUGAUAAUGAUCUUUGGUAUAUUGUGGAAAAUGGUGUCCCCAUUAUCUCUGCCAGUGUCACUGCGGCUGAUGUGAAGAAAUUCAAGCAACUCGAUUCUCAAGCGAAGAACAUCAUCCGUGGCCAUCUGAGCCCAGGACAGUUUCAAAGAGUAAGUGCUUUGGGCUCUGCAACACUGAUCUGGGAGAGACUGUGCAAGGUAAAUGAAGGAGUAUCAACCCAGCGUGACUCUCGUGUUGAUAUUCUUCGCAAUCUCUUCAAUCGCUUCAAGAGACAUGCCAAUGAAAGCUGCCAAGACACCUUUGAUCGCCUCACUGACAUAUCAAAUGAACUGCAAGCACUGGGAGCUCGAGACAUCACUGAUCACGAAGUUGUGAAGAAACCGCUGAGAUCUUUGGAUUCUUCAUUUGAUACUUUAGUUCUGAUGAUUCAAGAAAGACCAUAUUACAAGAUGCUUGAUCCAGCUGAUAUACUAGAAAGGCUAAAUACUCAUGAAUUUCAACUAGAAGAAAAGAGAGAUUCAUAUGGACCAAGCUAUUCCAGACCACGUGCACUGAAGGCUAGAGCAAUUUCCUCAUAUGAAGACGAAGACACAGAUGACAGUAUUUGUGACCCUGAAGAAUUUGGACAGGAGCUUGCAAUGCUCGUGAGGAAAUUCCAGAGAUUUACACGACGUGGUCAGUUCGGUAAAUCUUCAAGAAGAGACAUGAGGAAAUCAGAAUCUUCAUUUGAGGACUACAAGAAACGUACCUGUCACAAGUGCAAGAAAUCAGGUCAUUACAUUGCUGAUUGUCCCCGUUGGGGAAAGAAAUCAAAGAAGAAGAAAUACAAGGAUGACAGUUCUGAUGACUCGAAGAAGAAGAAGAAAUCUUCAAAAUCCUCAUCUUCAAAGCCCUCUUCGCACAAGAAGACUAGUUUCAGAAAGGCUCGGGCACUUAUUGGCAAGGAAAUGGAUUUCGAGGCAGAAUCAGAGGAAUGUGAUGAAGAAGAGGGCUCUGAUGAAGACUCAGAAUCCGGACAGGCUAGUCUUGCACUAGCAACCACUUUCGUCAGCAAGUCAAUCUUCAAUCUUGAAGAAAAUGAUUGCACAAUCCAUACUGAUGACUAUGUUGAUGACUUCGCUCCAACUAUUGCUUCAUGGAAAAAGGAUCAAAGGUAUCAAAUAAUGCCUCCUCCUCUGAUUCAAGUGACUGUGAGCCUAAUGAUUAUAAGAAACCCAGUUACAGUAAACUUGUUAUCAUUGCCACUAAACAACAAACUGCUCUGGAAAAGCUUCAGAAACUGCUAGACAAAAGUGAUGAUCUGUUGAAUGAUGAAAUGAACCUUACCCAAAUCCUCACUGAUGACAUGAAAAGUCUUCAGUCUAGAUUUGAUAAUCUUCAGGAUCAUUAUGAUACACUCCUCACUGAUCAUGAGAAGCUUUCCUAUGAAUUUCUUCAAAGGAAGCUUGAUCUUGAGAAGCUGAGGAUGUCUCAUGAUGAUCUUCGUAUGUAAAAUGAUUCAUUACUAGCUCAACAGAUCGGCGCUAGUCAAGUUGAAUUUAUUCCUCCAUGUCUUAAAUGCAUUGAACGCGAAACUGCUAAUUCCUCACCAGAAUCAUCAAAUGCUACCAUUGCUACAAAUUCUUCAACUGCACCUGUUGUGUCUAUUUCCUCACUUGAGGAAAACACAAAUGUUACUGAUGAAAAUGCAGGGUUGAAGGAAUUGUACGUGACAGGCAUGUACAAAAGCCUCAAAGGACAUCAAACCCUUUGUGAUGUGCUCAAAAAGCAGAUUUUGAACAGGAACCCGAGGAAAGAAGGAAUUGCCUUUGAGAGGAAAUUAAAUGCUGAUGGAUCUUAUUGAAAACCUGAGCAGUACCCCAAAACCUCACGGGUUGCUGCUACUGGGCCUCCUUUUGAUCCAUCUAAUCUAACUGGCUUUUCAUUUGAACUAUCCUAUUCCUCGGAUGAGUCACUUGAUUCCAACUAUAAACUGUUCAAAAAUCAAUCUGGUGAAGUAUUUGCUCGAUAUGUUGGAACUAACUGCAGGAAUGGCCCUCCACUGAGGAAAAUCUGGGUUCCCAAAAGCUGUCUUGAAAAUCUUCAGGUGAAUGUCCUCAUGACACCACCACUGAAGAAUCUGAACCCCAGAUCAAAUUCCUCAGGAGGACCAAAGUCUUCAAGAGGAUCAAAAUCCUCAACUGGUCAAAACUAUGCUCGUACCCGUGCUUAUGCGUCUAACAUGCAGGGAAUUACAAGGAAUAUGAAUAUGAACACUACUCCUCAAAUGAUUAUGUUCAUAAAUCCUCAAACCAGUUCUCUGCAUAUUCAUAUGAGUACUUUAAUCCCCCUACUGCUAAGAGUAGUGCAUUGGCUUCAAUGCCACCUUUCUCAUAUGGUGCUCGCAGGAUGAUGAACGCUUUGCCACCCCUUCAGAUGUGGGUGGUGAAGAAAUCAAACUAAUCACUUCUGCAGGACAGGUCUCCAGAUGAAAAUCAUCAUGUGAAGAAUUUGCCGGAGACCUGAGGAAAUGCUUGAUAGGACGCAAGCUAAUGAUUGAUGAAAUAGAGAUAUUUCACUCGUCCUUACAUUUCUGUUAUGAUGAAAUUACUCAUCUGAUGAAAUUAGUAUCAUAUUCUUCAAAUCUGAAACAUAUGAGAUGGUAAGCAGUACUAAUUCAUCUGCAGGAUGACAAACCCAAGAAUACUGAGUGGGUUCUUGAUAGUGGCUGCACACAUCACAUGACUGGUGAUAAAAGCUUACUGAUGAAUAUGCCACUAACUCCAUCACCUGUGAAGCAAAUCACAUAUGCUGACAAAGUCAUCAUGGAGUCAUCAUGGAAUCUGACAGAUCCAAAGUCUUCGAAGGUGUAAGAAGAGGGGAUUUGUACAUUGUUGAUUUCUCUACAGGUCCUCAACCAGCCACUUGCUUGCUAGCAAAAACCUCAGAAGGAUGGCUGUGGCACCGAAGACUAGGUCAUGCAGGCAUGAGGAAUUUGCACACGCUCGCGAAGAAGAAGCAUGCCAUAGGCAUCGAAUGAGUGAAAUUCCUCAAGGAUCAUCUCUGCGGUGAUUGUGAAUCUGGGAAAAUGACCAAAUCCAAGCAUCCCUCCAAAACCAUCAUGACCACUACACGUCCAUUCGAAUUGCUUCAUAUGGAUUUAUUUGGACCUACUCACUAUGCCACACUAACCAAUGCAGCAUCUCUAUAUGGCUUCGUCAUAGUUGAUGAUUAUUCCAGAUACACUUGGGUGCAUAUCAUAGUGUAUAAAACUGAAGUGCAGGAAAUCUUCAAACGAUUUUCUUCAAGGGCCUCGACGAACUUUGGCAUCAAGAUCAAACAUAUCAGGAGUGAUAAUGGAACCGAGUUCAAAAACACUGGUCUUGAUGAUUAUCUUGAUGAACUUGGUAUUACUCACGAAUUGUCUGCUCCUUAUACUCCUCAGCAGAAUGGUGUCCUCGAAAGGAAGAACAUGACUCUGGUUGAAAUGGCGAGAACCAUGCUUGAAGAAGAUCAAACUCCUCGACGCUUUUGGCCUGAAGCAAUCAACACUGCAUGCCAUAUCAUCAACAGGGUAUAUCUUCACAAAUUCCUCAAGAAUACCUCAUAUGAACUCCUCACUGACAAGAAACCCAAUGUAAGUUAUUUCAAAGUCUUCGGUGCAAAAUGCUGGAUUAGAGAUCCUCACCAUAGCUCAAAAUUUGCACCUAAGGCACAUGAAGGUUUUAUGCUCGGUUAUGGAAAGGACUCGCACACUUACAGAGUCUUCAACAACUAUCACAACAAAGUUGUUGAGACUGUAGAUGUGCGGUUCGAUGAAACUAAUGGCUCGCAAAGAGAGCAAUUGCCUUCUAAUCCAAAUGAAGGAUGUCGCUCCUGAGGAACACAUUGAUGAGGAAAUUCAGAUUGAUGACAGUCCUAAACCUCAUAUUCCUCAGACAGAAACUGCUCAAGCAUCAGUUGCACCAGCUGAUGAAACUGCUUCUGCCACAUAACCAGCUGAGGAAAAACAAGCUGAAAAUCCUCAAGCUGAAGAAAUCCAAAACUCUGAGCAAAAUCCUCAAGAUGAGGAACAGGCUGAUCAGACUCCUCCAACUGAGAAAGAAGCAGAAAUUCCUCAGUCUGAAGCUCAGUCAGAGAAAGCACCAUCUCCUCAACAUGAAGUACCAGCUGAUGAAAUUCCUCACCUUGAGGAAAAUGCUGAAGAAAAUGCACCCGCCCAAGACAACGCACUCGUUGUGCUCAACCCAGAGACUGCUAUUGUUGUUUCCCCCCUAUUCAUCAGUAAAAUCUUCAGCCAGUUCAGCGUCAGCCAUUCUCCAAGCGUCCAAAGUUUCAGAAAGAAAUUGAAGAAACUGCUCCUCUGGACCCGGUGCCUCUCAAUGUCGCCCCUUCCUAUGAGAUGGUCGUCAUUGAUGACCCAGCUAUGAAGGAAGAUGAGGAAAUGAAGGAUGUCGAUCCUGAGGAACACACUGAUGAGGAAAUUCAGAUUAACGUCAGUCCUAAACCUCAUAUUCCUCAGACAGAAACUGCUCAAGCAUCAGUUGCACCAGCUGAUGAAACUGCUUCUGCCACAGAACCAACUGAGGAAACACAAGCUGAAAAUCCUCAAGCUGAAGAAAUCCAAAACUCUGAGCAAAAUCCUCAAGAUGAGGAACAGGCUGAUCAGACUCCUCCAACUGAGAAAGAAGCAGAGAUUCCUCAGCCCGAAGCUCAGUCAGAGAAAUCACCAUCUCCUAAGCAUGAAGUACCAGCUGAUGAAAUUCCUCACCUUGAGGAAAAUGAUGAAGAAGAUGUUGUAGGCCUCAUGAAGAAUAUCCUCUUGAACAUCAUUCACAGUAUUCCUAUCAAUAUCCAUGAUUUCUUCUUGAGGACUUUGGCCGACAAUGCCAUGUGUCCCUUUGAUCACAAGAUAUAUGCCCCGUGGAUCAUGAGAUUCAUCAGGACAAGGACAUGCAUCAACUUGCACGCUGAUUGUCAAAACCAUGUUGGUUAUAUGCCUCGUAUUCGGGUAAACAAGAAGACUUUCGAGCCCAUUGAAGGAAAAGGAAAAUCUGUGAUUGAAGAAGGCAGCAGGCCCCUUGAUGGCCAGUUCAGAGAGCCAGAAGCAUAUUCUUCAUGGGACGAUACUGAGACUCGUCCAGCAAGCCCAGUUCCUCCUCGCGUGCUGAAUACCAGAGAGCUCCUCCUCAGUCUUCACCAGAAGGUGGAUCGCAACCACAAAUGGGUCAAACGCCAGUUUGGUGCCAUUGUGAAAACCCUCACUGAAACACAGAACUCUGUGAAGAUUAACCAUCACUAUCUGCAUGAGGUUUUCGAUCGCACUUGGGCUACACUUGCACAUCUUAAGACUCAGACUGAGCUUGAAGAAAUGGACUUUGAGCGAGACUUUGACUGGUCGUGGCCUCCCAAGAAGAAGUUCAGGCCCAUUCCAGUGCCAGACCUUGAAGACAGCUCCUUUUCUUCAUUCCGCACUGCUGAAUCUGAUGAAGAACAGCUCGACACUGCAACCGGCCCGAGGAAGGAAGACUACUUCCAAUAGUCAUCACGGCUCUUCCUCGACCGCCAAGAAAUGAAGUCUUCACGGGCGUUAGUCCUCAGUUUGUCCCUUUUUGUCACUUGAUGACAAAGGGGGAGAAACUCGAGAGUUAGUCUUCAAGCGGGAUAUUUUUGGGGCUUAUAAACUAUAUUUAAGUUACAAACUCUUGGCUCUUCUGAAGUUUUUAUGUAAUGAGUUGUAACUUAAGUCCGAUGGUACUCUGACGCUUUUGAACGUUUUUCUUCGCAUGCUUAUUCCUCAAGUUUUAAUGCACGCAUGCUGAAAUUCGUCAGAUACCAUUUUCCAUCAUGCAUCUUCAUUUUAUUCAUAUGAUAUGUUAUAUGUAUGCAUGAUUUACAAGAAUCAGGGGGAGAUCUCCAUGAUAUAAAUCAUCAAUGUGCAUUUGCUGUGAAAAGCAAAAUCCUCAAGAUAUGCACAUCUUCAGGGGGAGUCUCUCUGAAUCUUGUUUUCAAAUUCCUCAAAUGAGUAUUUACACUUCAUAUUUUUAUUCCCUGUUGAAGACUUAACCUAAUUGUCAUCAACCACCAAAAAGGGGGAGAUUGUAAGUGCAUCUAGUGCCCCUUAGUGAUUUUGGUAGUUUGAAGACUUAUAGGUUAAGUAUCUAAUGUGUUUGUGAGUGUACACAGGAUCUAUAAGUCAUUGAGGAGUUUGAGAUAUUUGAAGAAUAUCGACGCCUAAAAAUAUAUGUCUUCAGUUGAAGAAGUUGGUGUGAAGCUGAAGAAAUGAAUUGCGAGGAAUCUGCGAUGAAAUUGAUAUUCCUCAUGAAGAUACUGAUAUUGAGAAGUCCGGUGGUUACUGAAGAAAAUUAUUCUGAAGAAUUUGAAGCAUGAAGAUUUACACUUUCUGUUUUAGUUUCUUCGCAUUUGAGUAAUAGGAACACCGUACUAUUAAAGGGGGUCGAAGUUACGCUAUGGAAUGAAUUUCCUCAUGAUGCUCAACCCAAGCCUAAUCCUACCAAAAUCCUCAAGUGAGGAAUACGAGUGACAUGAGGACUCUCACAGUUGAGGGUUCCGACCGUUUCGAUAACCACGCCAAGUCAUUGGUCUUAUCCACUCCAAUGGUCAUAUUAUUUAAGGGCAUUAGUGUCAAAUCAUGUCGGGAUGCUCCUAGGCUAUAAAUAGCCACCCCCCACAACCACUAGCUGGUUGGCUGCUCCGUUAGAAACUGACACUUGUCAUAAGAGCAAGCCAAAUUCCUCAGAGCCUUCGAGAGUAAAUCAUCAGUGAGGAAAUACACCAUCCACCGAAACCACAAACCAAACCUAGUGAUUGAGCAUCACUGAAGAAGUUGUUCCUGUGUGGGACUGAAGCCUUUUACCUUUGAGGACUGUGCAUCCUCCAGACGGUUAGGCGUCAUGGUCUAGAGCAAUCCAGCAGUCAAUUGUGGAUCGCCGGGUGACCAAGUUUGUGAGGGUUUGGAAGUCUGACCUGAAGACUUACCACGAGUGUUGGGCGAGGACUGUGUGUCCUUAGCUGAAGGAGAAUACGGUAGGGACCGUGUGUCCCGGGACUGGGUGUCCUUUGGUUUCAAUACCAAGCCGCUCCAAACCAGAUGUACAACUGUCACAGCAGUUGGAACUGGGUCAUUAACAACAGUCUUCACUGAGAAACGGGUUCUAAUUCCUCAACUCUUUACUUUUCUUGUAUUGUGUGUUGAUGACUUUCACUGUGACUGUUUGAAGAAUUUGCUGAAGACUUUCUCUGAAUUUCCUCAACCCCAAAUUCUUCACAAUAGUUAAUCUUCAUCUGUAUUCUGCGUGCCUGCUUACUGUGCAAUCUGUUUUCACAUUCUUCACUCUGAAAUACUGCUGUUGUGAACGUUUGCACGUCUGAUCCUUUACUGUUCCCGCUGUAAGUUAGUCAUUAGUGAGGAAUUUCCUCAAAAGGAAUUUCCUCAGUGAUGAAAUUCGAAAAAUCUCCUAUUCACCCUCCCUCUAGUCGAUAUAACGCACUUUCAGAGAAACAAGAAUAUUCUACGCUCCAAAAACCCGGGGAAGGCUGAUUCUUGGAUUAAAGGGGAACACGAGAAGACUUUCGGCAGUUGGUUGCAGACACAUCUCAUGAAUGACGACACCGUUGGAGAUCAGCUGUACUGUUUGGCCAGGCCACCAUCCUCGACUAUAUGUACUUUCCAAGGGUAUGAGAUAAAUGGGAAUACAUUUUACACGGUUGCCCAAGAUAAAAAGAGCACCAACCAAAAUAGUGGUGUCCGCUUUGAUGCAACAGACGAGAAUGGGCACUUUUUGGAAACAUAUUACGCGUACAUAGAGGAGAUAUGUGAACUUGACUAUGGACCUACUUUUAAGAUCCCUUUGUUUCGGUGCAAAUGGGUGAAGCUCACAGGAGGCGGGGUAGUUGUAGACCAAAAGUACGGCAUGACAACAAUGGAUCUCAACAAUCUUGCGUACAUGGACGAACCAUUUGUCCUAGCCAAUGAUGUCGCUCAGGUUUUCUAUGUGAAGGACAUGUCUACAAAAAAGAGAAAAAGAAAUCAGCAAAAGAAGAUAUCGUCCGAUGAGCCAAAACGCCACAUAGUUCUUUCAGGGAAAAGAAACAUCGUGGGAGUAGAUGACAAGACAGACAUGUCAGUAGAUUAUAAUAAGUUUAAUGAAAUUCCGCCCUUCAAAGUGAAAACUGACCCAAGCAUCCUACUGAAUGAUGAAGAUUCUCCGUGGCUACGACCCAGAAGAAAACAGAAAUAAUAGAUAGGAAUAUUGGUGCAAUAAUGUAAUAAUGUAUUAAACCUUUUAUGUAAUGCAUGUAUGGAAUGUACUAAACCUUUUAGUUUUGAAUUAUUUAUUCAAUUUCAAACACUUUUCAUUUUCAUAGUUUUGUCAAAUUCUCAAAUAUGCAAAAAGAAUUUUAAUAAACAUAGUUUUUAAUUGAAAAUAACAAAAUAGUUAAUAGUUUGGAUAGUCAAAAUAAUUAAUUUUGAAAAUAGAAAAUAGUUUUGAAUUAUUUAUUCAAUUUCAAACACUUUUCAUUUUCAUAGUUUUGUCAAAUUCUCAAAUAUGCAAAAAGAAAUUUUAAUAAACAUAGUUUUUAAUUGAAAAUAACAAAAUAGUUAAUAGUUUGGAUAGUCAAAAUAAUUAAUUUUGAAAAUAGAAAAAAAUUGAAACUAUAUGAGAAUUUAUAGAGAAAAUUCAACCUAAAUUCAAAGUGACCUCACUUUGAAUUCAGGUUGAAUUUUCUCCAUAAUUUCGAAUAUAGUUUCAAUGUUUAAAUUUACAGUGUGUUUAGGCCCGUAAGCCUGCUUUAGAGAGGAGCUCGAUGGAGAUGCUGCGACGGGGCUUAUAAACUAGUGUCAGUGCCCCUCGCUGGGCGAGGUGGGACUAAACUUAUCGUGCAGCCAGCGAAGGGGCUUUAGUCCCGGGUGGAGCCACGACCCGGGACUAAAGCCCCUCGCCUGCCGCCUGCUGAAAAGGGGUCUUUAGCCCCAGGUCGUGGCUAGACCCAAGACUAAAGGGUGUCUUUAGUCCCGGCUCGAGCCCCGACCCGGGACUAAAGGCCCAUGCUUCCCGCCUUUCGGUCUGCUGAAAAAGGGUCUUUAGUCUCGGGUCGUGGCUCCACCCGGGACUAAAGGGUGUCUUUAGUCCCGGUUCGAGCCCCGAACCGGGACUAAAGAUCCUACUAUAUAUACGGCGCGGACAAAAAUCCAUUUCGUUCUCUUCUUCCUCUCGCUCGCCUCUCCUGCCCGGCGCGGCAACGGACGAACUCCUCGACGCCGCCAGGCUGCCCGCCGUCGCCCUGCCGUCCUCCUCGCCGGCCUCCUCGCCGUCCUCCUCGCCGGCCUCCUCGUCGCCCUGCCGUCCUCCUCGCCGUCCUCCUCGCCGGCGCCGUCACCCUUCCCACUCCGGUAAGCCCCCCGCCCCCUCCUCCCCAUGUCGAACACGUACGAAGGAAAAGAAAAGAAGAAAAUGGAGAAGAAAAGAAGAAAAAGGAGAAGAAAAGAAGAAAAGAAGAAAAUAUUUUUUUUGUCAUUUAAUUCCUAUUGUUAUUAGGUUUGUGCUAGAUUAUUAGGGUUAGUAAUAUUUAGAAUUAGGUUAGGGUUACAAGAAGAAGAAAGAUGAACAAAAAUAAGAAAAUAAGAUUAGGAAAAAGGAAAAUAAGAAGAGGAGGAGAAGAAAAGAUGACGCCACCGCCGCCGUCGUGCCGGUGAGGAGGAGAAGUAGAAGAAUAGGAGGAGGAGAAGUAGAAGAAUAGGAGGAGGAGUAGAAGAAGAGGGGAAGAAAAGGAAGAAGAAGAGGAGGAGAAGAUGAUUUUUUUUGUCAUUUAAUUCCUAUUGUUAUUAGGUUUGUGCUAGAUUAUUAGGGUUAGUAAUAUUUAGAAUUAGGUUAGGGUUACAAGAAGAAGAAAGAUGAAAACAAAUAAGAAAAUAAGAUUAGGAAAAAGGAAAAUAAGAAGAGGAGGAGAAGAAAAGUAGUAGUAGUAUGAUAUACUUCUAUUUUCAAUACAUUUAUGAUGCUAGAUCAUUAUUUUGAUUAUAUAUAUUCUAUUCUCGUAAAGUGCGACCAGCAGCCAUGGGGGACGCAUCUAUGCGGAUACUAUGUUUGCGAGACCAUUCGCACGUUUACCUCUGAGCACAAGGAUCACAGAUACGACGUAAGUAAUGAACAUUCACACCUCUAUUUUUACCCGUCAUUCUUUGUUAUCAUGAUUGAUAUUCAUAUUCAUUUCCUCUUCUUAUAUAGUACACGACCAUGAGGGAGAAGGUCCUACCAGAGCAACACGCGAUUGCUGUUGCAGAGGAGCUUGCGACCUUUGUGAGGACGGAAGCUAUAGAUGACAAAGGACGAUUUAGUGUAGCUAGGGGCCAUUACUGAUGUUGGUCCAUGUAAUCGAAUAGACGGGCUCUAGUCCCGAUAAUUUAGAUCUCCAUAUAAUUGUAUAUAUAUGCUCGCUUGUAAGAUAAGUUAAUCUUAUAAAUAUAUGCAUAAACAUGUAUAUUUAGAAUUAUAUGAAAACUAAUUCCCGAACACCAAAUGAGGCAUCACGUUAAUCUCCCGAACACCUAAACCCUAAAACCCUAAAACCCUAAAAUAAACAAAAUCUGCAGAAACUCUUUAGUCCCGGUCCGUGUUAAGACCCGGGACUAAAGGGCCUGCCCCUGAGGGCGCUCCGAGGCGCCCACGUGUAGCACCUUUGGUCCCGGCUUGGAACAGGGCCGGGACUAAAGGUUAGGCCUUUAGUCCCGCCCCUUUGGUCCCGGUUGGUGAACCGGGACUAAAGCCCCUUACGGGCCGGGACUAUAGGCCCCGUCCCCACUAGUGCUCGCGCUGCUCCAAUGGAUUGUAUACCAAAGAAGAAAUUGAUCCCUCCAUUUGAAGGCGCCGCGCCACGGCCCGGAUGGUGCGCUUCGGUCAUUCCUCCUUCAGUUCCAUCCAAACAUAGAUAGAUAGAUCUAGAUAAAAAAGAUAGAUAGAUGGUGUAACCAACCGGGACUAAAGUCCCCAAGCCCCCCGGCGUGGGCUCGUGCCACGUGGUGGGCAUUCGGUCCCGGUUCAUGACGAACCGACACUAAAGGGGGGGGGGGCUUUAGUCCCCACCCUUUAGUGCCGAUUGCAAAACCAACACUAAAGGUCCUUACAAACCGGGACUAUUGCCUGAUUCUGCUCUAGUGCACCUAUACCCAGCAAACUAGGGGGGGGGAGGAGGGAGGACACGACUCCGGGACAAUCAUCGGCCGCCGACGAGCCUUCCCAAAGCCCAUGGCCACGCGAGCUCACACGACGCACCGAUCCAUGCACCGACGCACUUGUAUCACAACCACCACCAUCGAGCACCGUACCCGUGAAGGGAGCCUGAGCAUCCUUGCGAGCACAUCCUGGGUCAAUCCCAACCUCUCCUACCCGAAGCAAAAGCUUUGAACCGCCUCAGACCCCAAUCUGAUCCACCCGAGCACGAACCCUGGAUCUGGACCAUCCUAAAACGUGUGCAUCCGGCACCACCGGCGCCCGCCCAGCCUCGCACAUCGUAGGAACAGAUCCAAGAGAAGGAGGCUGACACCGCAACCCCGCGUCGGCCGAAGAAGCCUAGCCACCGCGCCACCACACCCACACUAGGCACGCUCCACCGCCCAGUCCAAUUGCUGCCGAGGGCAAGCCUCCCGUGAACGGAUUAUCAAUGACCCUCCAAGCCCCUUUUUUGCCAAUGAAGCCGAAUUAAAGGAGAUGUUCCUAAAUCCCAUUUUUGAAAUGCAUAAUUUUUAUCAUGCGGACCAGUGCAUCCUUUUGUGAGUUGAAUCAUCAACCCAUCAAAAAACGAGAUAUUACAUUCGUGAUUCCUUUACAGUUUUUUCGUCGUACUAGUGUGAUUUUAUUUCUAAAAAUGUCGUGUUUUUUUUUUUAAACGAACAGAGAGCGAGAAGCGUUGUGUUGUGGACGAUUGGACGUACUGUAUUUCCUAGGCCACGGCCCAAUAGCCCAUCUGGCGGGGAAAGCCGAGCACGGCGACGGCGUGAGGCAUCCUUGAAAUACUCCGGCUUGGCGCCCGACGUAACCGUCUCAACCAACAGCUUUCACUUCUCCCCGUCGCCGGAGCUCCAAGAAACCAAGAACCCAUCCUCCCCACCUCUUUCCACCGAGCAGCACCAGCGCUCCGGCGUCGGCAAGCGAUGGACCGGUUUCAGGACGGCAAGCACGUGCGGCUGCGGAGCCGCGUGCACGGCACGUACCUGCACGCCAACAAGAACGGCCAUGGCGUCUCCCUCCAUCGGCGCCGCGCGUCGAUGCACGCGGCAUGGUCAGUGCACAUCUGCCACCGCGACGGCCCGCAGCUGCUCUUCCACAGCGCCGCCCACAGCAGCUAUUCGCCGCCACGGACGCGCGGGCGCCGCCGGGCAACCGCGGGUGCCGCGCUGUGCAGCGUGACUACACCGUCGGGAGCUGGAGGCCGUCAGGUGGCAUGCCCGUUUGGGCAGACUCCGGGAACUACGUCGUGCUCCGCGACGUCGCUGGCCGCUGCCUCCGCGCCAACAAGAGGCGCCUCGGCCGGAGCAAUGGCGUCAGCGUCGACGACAUCGACGACAUCAACAAAGUCAGCACGAUGAUGCACUGGUCCGUGGAGAUCAUCCCAGCCAGGGAGGGCAUGCCUCCCCUUCCACGCCCGAUCGGGGUGAGUCCGGCAUGCCCGCUUCUUGAUUCUGCCCGAAUUUGCGCGAAUUGGGUUCUUGGAUGUUGUUCUCCAUGUCUGCAAUUUGUUGCUCUGUUUCUUUGGCUUCUUGCGCCACCGCAUCUACAAUUCUUGAUCGCAUUUGAUCUCAACUGCAGCUUCCCUACCCCGGAAUACUCGACGCCCUGAUGCCGUCGCGCAUGAUCCUGUACGUGCGGGAGGGCGCCGAUGGGAGCCGCGUCACCCGUGGCUCGUUCGUGUUCAGGGGCAGGUCCGUGUUCGGCCUGAGGAAGAAGCUUGUCCGCCGGCUGCGUGCCAUCAUGGACGUCUCCAAACUCGUCGUGUGCGUCGAAGCUGGUACUCUGGGGCAGCUUACCCCACUCGUCGUCGACCUGCCCCGCAGCCACCAGAACCUCCGCAUCGUCGUCAUCGAGGCCGGGACGCCAGGUGAGAGUCCCCAACUUCUUACUUGUCUUCGGUAAUGUCUGCGUUUACUGAAACUGUUACAGUCUGAAAAACAGUUUACUGAAACUGCUGCUGAUCUGCUUCAGUUAGAACCGUAGUAUUUCAAUUAUGGCCUAAUCUUCCCGAGUAAUCUGAACUCUCAUGCUUAGUUGAUCGUUACAUAUUCACUCUUGGAACUUGUAAAGCCAAAUCAGUUCAGCUUCACAUAGAAGAUACUGAUAUCUAUACUUUUCGAUAAAGGGCGUUUAUAUUAUAUCAAAAUGUAGCAUCAGACGGAUACAAAACAUUAUGAGGAACACCCGGGCCUGCUGCUAUCUAUAUGAUUUAGCCAUUUAUAAUUCAGAAAGAAAAUUCAAGUUCCCACAAACACUACCUCAAAGAAAUUAGUUUGUUUCUGCAUGCACAUUACAUUGCUUUCAGGUUUUGUACAUCAAUUGUUUUCUCGAUCUCGUCACUUGACCUGUUUUAGCAAUAUCAGAUUAUUGAUGACAUGAUGCCUAACCUUACCUCCUCGCUGUUCCUUCUCAAUUCUAUUCAGCCCACGCGGAUUUGCGGUGCCCAGAUGUGUAGAGAAAGACCAGAGCAGGACACCUGACUGUCGCUUCACAGUUCACUUCUUCAGAGUGCCGCCGCCUCCGUCACGACGGCAUGUGAAUCCACUACUGCCUGCACUUAUUAGACAGGGGUUCAGGAAGACCCAGCAUUUCUUGUGUUCCAGUUAGCUAGUUAAACUUGCGUUGGCCUCACGGUUCUACGAGUAGUAAUCAGAAACUGUUUGAGCAAUGAUGCAGUGAUCGUUAUUCAAAUCUGCCAACUGCAUUUCUCUUAUAUGAAGCAUCCUACACAUAUGAGUUGACCACUUGAGUUUAGCUGUGACGCUUAAAGUUUCAGUCCUAUAGCAGAAAAUGAGUUUCUGUCUUGACUGACAACUCUCAACUAGUCAACCUGCUGCAUUUUCCUGCGCGCUUAGUGCAUCAGCAGUGUUUUAGAUCGCAAGCAGUCCCAAGGCUGAGAAGAGUUUGCAGUACGACAGAUGGCUGUCAGAAGGCAAAUGCAAGCGACAUCAAACACAAAUCUUGCGCAAGGUCUGCAAGAUUUCGAACAGAACAAAGCUGAACAACGCAGUCUGCUUCCACAAAGGACAGCACACAUGUAUUCUGAAACAAAAUUCAUAGAAUUAAAAAGUACUAAUAUUUUUUAGACAUGUUAAUCUAAUUUAAAAAAUUAUUUUUGUAUUUUAAAAAUCAUGUAUUUUAAGAUGUGCUCAUGGUUUUGAAAAAUAUUUGUGUAAUUCUAUAAGUGUCAAGACAUUUAGUUGUAAAAGAAAUAUUAAUCCCUUUAAAAAAUCGAAUAAUUUAAGAAGUGCUCUUUCAUUUUUAUAAAUAAUUUUCAUAUGGCUGUAAAAAAUGUUGUGCAAUUUUAAAGUGUUCAAGCAUUUAGAAAGGGUCAUCUAUUUAAAAAAGGCUCAGGCAUUUUACGUUCUUGUAGUUUUCUAAUUACGUUCCCGGCCUUUAAACAAAUCGCGUAGCUUCCAAAAUGCGUUCACACAUUUCAAGAAAACAUUAUUGUAAUUUAAAAAGAUAGUUUUGCACCGUGAAAGUCUGCUCAACCUGGAGAGUCGCCAUAGUUGGUCUUGGGAUCGCAGUCACCACUGUUUUUGUUGUUUUUGCUGUAAGUAUGUAACAAGUAACUGAUGAUACACAUUGAAACGGAUGAAGGGGAAGUAUGUAACAACCUCGAGAGUAGUUGAUGGUUUUGUUGUGUUUGCUGUAAGUAUGUAACAACCUUUUAAACAGUUACUGUUGUGGGGGGUGAUCUACGGAGGGUUUGUGAUCAGUGUACUUCUUCGACCAACUCAGCAGUAAGAGGAGCAUCUGGUCGGCGCGGCGCGUGUUGUACACAUAAGGCCAUGGCGUUAGUAAAUACGUUUAACUAUUCCAUCGCUUGAACGGAUUAGUGAAGUGGGUGAAGACUACUCAUAAAACAUGUAACAUGAAUUGGACAAUUGACAAAGUGCAUGUUUCAUCAAGAAUCACAAUGUAUGUUCAACUCACAACUAGUCUCCAGAAUCCAAACGUCAAAUGAUGAGGAGACGAACCCUAGGGAUAGGAAAAUGAGGUUCAAUUAAUUAGACAUAAUCUUUAUCUAGAGCUACUUACUGCAAAUAUGAAAUAAGCACAUACAACAUAGAUAUAUCUAGAUAUAAGAACAAUACAACUCUCAAGAUCUUGUUCCCCCCAAAAAAGACCAUAACAUCUUGGCAUCAAGUUUGUAGGUCCAUGCUCACAUGCAUUUUUCCAGGGGUGAAACUAUUACAAAUUACAAAUUACAAGGGCACCCUAGGUCAUAGGAGAAGUAUUCCCUCCAAGGCGAGACACCAACUUACCGCUAGGUCGGUACUGUAUCAGUUGAAUCCUAUGUAGGUUAACAUAAUCUUAUCAUUUCCCAAAUAUUCCUUUCUUCUUUGGAAAGUUUGGGAAAAAAGAUCUAAAGAUAACAAUUUUUAUUUCUACCAGGCACGAUGUCAUGUACCUGAUGAUGCAAUUCUAAGAAAAUUAUCUAAUUGAAUAACCUUCACAUGGGACUCUAUCAGCAUGUUGAGCAUCUUAAGCUGAAUGUCUACAUGGCAUGGCAGUGAAAUACAAAUAACUGUCAAAUCAAAAGGUUUGGUUGAGUUCAUAAAAUUCUUUUAAAAUAGCUUGAGAGGAAAGCGCUACUCAGCAUGACUACAAAAGCAAUGGCAAAAGAGGAGGCUAGGAAUAUGACCACUCACAUGAGGAGUUCCUCACGACAGUCAAAACCGUGCCAAUCAAUUUUACUUUGUCUCUCUCUCUCUCUCCUCCUUUCUCUCUUUCACGUUACAAAAAUGUAGGUGAUAGUACCAUGUUUGCGUUAUGCUACCCUGUUUAGCUUUUAUAAUAUAGUAUGCAUUUCCAUUAUUUUCUGUAAACUACAAUGUUCCACUAAUUAAAUGAAUGAUGUUAUUUGUUUAUACACUUAUCGUGGCCAUGAAGAGUGGGCAUCUUAUUCCUAUCCAGGUAUUUUCUCUUGCGAACUUUUGGUGCUCAUCUUUAUUUUAUUUUUGAAAAAGAGGAAACGAGCCCCCGGCCUCUACAUCAAUCGAUGCAUGCAGCCAUAUUAUUAAUAAUAAACGUAAAGUAUGUGAUGUCCACAAAUCUCUGAAUCUGAGUACAAAAAUUAAACAAAUAAAUUGCCCAUCCGGCUCAACUGAUAACAGACUACGAUGCCUAUACACCUAGGCUAUUAUUAGCACGCCAUCCAAAUCUGUUGAAGAUAACCCGAGCGGCCGUCUUCCAUCGGUUGCACCCAAUAUCCAUAAGAUCCCUGGAGUCCACAUGACUGAGUAACGACCACAUACGGAUCCAGGACGUUGCUCUGAAAAUAACCUGCAAAAAGUUGUUGAAAUUCUUGUCAUUAAAAAUCAUGUCAUUCCUAGCAUUCCAUAUAGCCCAACAUAACGCACAUACUCCAAUUCUAAUAAGUUUCGAUAUUCUGCCGUCGACUCCAUUGAGCCACGUUGUGAAUAACGAAUUCAUACAUGUAGGUGGAGAUAUAUUAAAAGCUAUGUGUAGUGUGCACCAAAGAAGUUUUGCAAGUGGACAUUCUAAGAAAAGAUGUUUAAUCGUCUCAUUUUGCUCACAAAAACAACAAUUCACCCUGCCUCUCCAUCUUCAUUUUUUUAAAUUAUCUUUGGUUAAUACCACACCCUUGUGUAUGAACCACAUGAAAACUUUAAUCCUUAGGGGCACCUUGAUUUUCCAUAUAUGUAGCGAUCUAGAUAUUAGUGCAUUAUUAAUGAGAUCCGUGUACAUAGAUUUAACUGAGAAUACUCCGUUGGAAGCCAAAGUCCAACGAAUAGUAUCUCUUUGGUUAGAUAGUUGAAUCUGCAUUAACCUUCUGACCAGAUGUAGCCAUGUGUUCCACCGUGGUCCAACUAAAGCUCUCCUAAAUUGUAUGUUAAGAGGUAUGGAUUGAAGUACUGUGGCAACAUAAUCCUCUUUUCGUUGGACAAUGUUAUAUAGAGUUGGAUAUUGAAGAGCUAGGGGAGUGUCUCCCAACCAAGUAUCCUCCCAAAACCUUGUUGAUGCACCACCCCCAACUACAAAUCUUACCCGCUGGAAAAAGGUCACCUUUACCUUCAUUAGACCUUUCCAGAAAGGAGAAUCCUUUGGUCUAACUUUAACCUAUGCUAAAGUUUUUGAAUGUAAGUAUUUAUUUUUAAGUAUUUGAAACCACAUUCCUUCAGUUUCCGUAGAUAGCCUAAAAAGCCAUUUGCUGAGAAGGCAUCUGUUCUUGACUUCUAAGUUUUCAAUACCCAUACCCCCUGUUCUUUAGGUCUACAUAUAAUAUCCCAACGUGUCAGUCUGUAUUUCUUCCUGACCUCAUCGCUUUGCCAGAAGAACCGAGACCUAUAAAAAUCUAGUCUUUUUCGAACCCCUACUGGUAUUUCAAAAAAAGACAAGAGAUACAUGGGUAGGCUAGUUAACACCGAAUUUAUUAAUACUAGCCUUCCUUCAUAUGACAUAAGCUUGCCCUUCCAACAACUUAGUUUUUUUUCAAAUCUAUCUUCAAUACAUUUCCACUCCUUAUUCGUCAGUCGCCUAUGAUGAAUAGGGAUCCCAAGAUAGCUAAAUGGUCGUGAUCCCAUUUCACAUCCAAAAAGCUGUCUAUAAGCGUCUUGUUCCUCUUUUGCCUUUCCAAAGCAAAAUAGUUCAUUUUUGUUGAAAUUUAUUUUUAAUCCUGAUAAUUGUUCAAAAAGACAUAAUAAUAGUUUCAUGUUCCUUGCUUUGGCCAUAUCGUGCUCCAUGAAAAUAAUUGUAUCAUCCGCGUAUUGUAAAAUAGACACCCCUCCUUCUACAAGAUUUGGUAUGAGGCCUCCAACUUGGCCUUUUUCUUUGGCUCUUUGUAUUAAUAUUGUUAACAUGUCUGCAACUAUGUUAAACAACACUGGGGAUAAUGAAUCACCUUGCCUGAGUCCCUUAUGUGUUUGGAAAAAAUGACCUAUGUCAUCAUUAACUUUAACACCUACACUCCCUUUUUGGAUGAAAUUAUCGACCUGAUUUCUCCAUGCAUCAUUGAAUCCUUUCAUACGUAAGGUCUGUUGGAGAAAAGACCAUUUUACUUUAUCAUAUGCUUUCUCGAAAUCCACUUUAAAUAUAACCCCAUCUAGUUUCUUUGUAUGGAUUUCAUGCAAUGUCUCAUGCAGGACCACAACACCCUCCAAGAUAUGUCUCCCAGGCAUGAACGCAGUCUGCGUCGGUUGGACUACAGAAUUAGCAAUCUUUGUUAAUCUGUUUGUACCAACUUUUUUAAAUAUCUUGAAACUCACAUUGAGCAGACAUAUCGGUCUAAACUGUUCAAUUCGAAUAGCUUCCACCUUUUUUGGCAACAAUGUAAUUGUUCCAAAGUUGAGAUGAAAUAAUUGCAAGUGACCAUUAAAUAAAUCAUGAAACAUACGCAUCAAGUCACUCUUAAUAAUGUACCAACACUUCUUAUAAAACUCUGUAGGGAACCCAUCUGGUCCCGGUGCUUUUUUGUGUGAUUGAGUCAUAUACUUCUUUCUCUGUAAAUGGAGCUGAUAGCACUUCAUUUUCAUCUGCAUUUAGUUGAGGUAUAUCAUUAGUGAUGCUUUCAUCCAGAGAGACCCCUGUCUCUUCUGGUUUAGCAAAUAAUUUUUUGUAAAAUUCAGAGAUAUAUAAUUUUAAGUUCUCGUGUCCUAUAAUUGUUCCUUCAUCUUGCUCAAGUUGAGUAAAAUUUUUUUCCUGUGUUUGCCAUUUGCAAUCAUGUUGAAGAAUUGUGUGUUAUCAUCCCCAUGAACCACCUUUGCCACCUUGGUUCUAGUUGCCCAUUUCAUCUCCUCUUCUCUUAGGAGUUUUUGCAACCUCCUCUCAGCAUCAAUCUUUUUAUUCCUGUCCGUCAAAUUGAGUUGAUUAGACUCCCCCACCAUAAGUGGUAAUCUUUCGUCUCCACAAAUCCGUACCAAAUCUGCCAGAAAAUGAGGUUUGAGUUCUGGUUGCGCUGCCCCAUAUACAGCCACCAGAGCCCACCUGAACCCAUCGGUCUUCGACCUCAGUCGAAAUUUAACCGUGAACUCGCCAUAUAUCACAUUCAUCACCUCUAAUGUUUCACAUUUUACCCCAAGUAAGAUCCCACCAGAUCUUCCCCUUGGCGGCAAACAAUGCCAGUCAAAAUCAACCCCUCCCGAGAGGAUAUUAAGAAAUUGCGGUGUGAAAUUAUCCCUACCCGUUUCUUGUAAAGCUAUAAAGCCAAGUUUAUGUUCGAGAGAUGCUUCUCUAAGGAACCUUCUUUUAGCCAAGUCCGCUAGACCUCUGCUAUUCCAAAAAAUCCCUUUCAUAUCUCAUCAUGAAUUUUUUUCUUUUGUUUUACUCUGGCACUCCUCCUGACCGCUGAUUGAGGAAAUACUUUUCUAUUCCAAGGUCUCUUGGGUUUGUCUUUAAUACCAUCUAAGUUAUUUUGUACUACUCUGACAUUUGGAAGACAACCGUCAAUCGAAGGAGCCACAUACCCCUCCGAUCCCAUGUCAUCCAGAUCUACCUCAUCUUCCUCUAAAUGUAGUAAAUUGUCACAAAGAGUCUGUAAUUGUGCACCUCCUAAGUCAUUAAUAUCUGAAUCUUCCAUUGGUUUUAAUGCUGCUAAAUGCUGAAUAAAGUCAAUGGUUCUGUCUGCUUCUAAGUCUAAAAUAUCAUUGAUAGAUUUAGCUACUUGUUUGCCUGAGGAACCAAGGUAAAUACCUAUGUCGCUAGCAUUAUUAAUAAUAUCUGAAUCUGAAAGUUGAAGAAUUGAUGCUUCAGGAACGACACACAUACCUGAAGUGUUUUCAGCAUCUCUGAUUUUAGCGGCCCUCAUGGCACGCCCUAUGGACAUGUCAUCAGCAUCUGGUUGUUCCUAGAAACGUUGACUGUAGCGUUUAUUUCCAGAGGAAGGAUCUGCGAUCCCUCCAAAUGAGAUCACCUCCUCCAUAGAUACCUCUGAAUGUUUACGACCGUCUGUCGCACAUCCUCCCGUGGCUGCAUCUCCCUCCGGAUCAGCCGUAUGAGCUGUGGGUAAUAUGGUCGUAGGAUAUGUCACGUGGUCCUCCUGAAUGAUGACACGUGCAUUAUCAUACAGAUUUUGGGACUGCGAAUGAAUGUCGCUGCACCCAGUUAUCAGGAUGUCAUGAUGCACCGAAUUGUCGCUGCAAUGUUGCCCAAGGCCCUCUCCUGUCCGCUGCGAGUCCGCCGGCGUGGAAGGAGAAAAAUGAUCAGUGCUUUCCUUCGAAUUCUGUGUCAUACAGUUAUUCCAAAUCUGACUGCCGUUGCCCUACGGCGAACUAGGCAACGUAAUCUUGCGUCUGCUAUACUCCUGCUGCGGUAUGAGUACUGUAUUUUCCUGGACCUUACAUGCAUGGUGUUUCUGGGCAUUGUCCCCGUGCAUAUCCUGGAGCAUGCAUGCAUACUGUACCUGAUCAUUAUUUGGAACAUGCACACUAGCAUUGCUGGCCACAGUGCCGAGCACCCAAAUUUUAAAUUGAGCUGCACCCCCCUAAGCGACCCCAUAUCAUGCAUGACUCAAAUGAUCCGAGACGUAGGGUAUCCAUAUGAGCAGAAGAAAGAUGAAGGGUGUAAACCUCAUUAAAAGGGUGACUUAUCCUUUCGGAGAAGAUGAUGAAGGGAUGAACGCCAUCCUUAGACCUCUCAGAGCUCUUUUCUUUAUCUGUAUCACCAUGAUCUUUGUGACGCUCAUCUCCAUCAGUCAUAUGAACAUCACCCAUCAUUAGACUUUGUAGGUACGUCCCACCCUCUACCUCCACAUCAAGAUCAUAAUGAACUCCAUCAUAUGACCAAGGUGCGAAAUCAGGAAUAUAUUCAACAUCUAGCACCAUCACAAGCAAUCUGGCUAUCCCCCUUUUGCGAGUAAACGGCAUGUCGACUUUUUCUGUCUUGCCAAUAAGUGAUCCAAGGCUCCAUACAAUAAGAAAAUCAUUAAGUAAAGUUUCUGGUAUGCCUGAAAACCUGAUCCAUACCUUCUGUAACCGUGUACCCUGUGGUUCUGGUUUUUUACACUCCUCAAACUCAAGCAUGCAUUUACUCCCACUGACCCUGCUGACCCCAAAAGUAAGCAAACGUUGGAGAUCCUCUCUUCUAGGAAACUCCACUUGAAAGCUAUGAUCAUCAAGUCGUUCUGGUGCCCACUGGUAUGUUUCAGACACAAGUCUUCUCAAUUGUUGGGAGAUUUGGUCAACUGAGAGCGAUCCAUUAGUAACUUUAACUAGUCCCGUUCUUGAGCUCUCAAGACGUGGCGGAACAAUAACUGAUGUAGACCGUGGUGUCUCAAAAAACAUAAGUCUAUUUUGACAUACACCAUAUAUAUUAAUGACCGGCUUCGGAACUAGGAGCAAUGGGCAAGCGCUCUCUUCAUGUCCCGGUUUUAGACAAAUAUCGCAUAAUGCCGUAGUGCAAUCCACGACAAAAUGUCCAGGUACUCCACAUCUAUAGCAUGUUAACUUCUCCUUCUUACGAGCGGCUUUGUUAGCCCGAGCCUGGUCUCUGUCCUCGGCCGCCUUAGGUGCAUCCUCCAUAGACAGAUUAUCAACAUUAUCAGUCGCCGCCGGAGUUACUUCUUUCCACUUGGGCAAAUUGUUAUUGCGCCCAAAAGUACGACCACCUCCAGCACCACGCGGACGAUAGUUCGUACCCCUGGCUCCUUCUACAAAGCUUCCUUCCGGAGGAUAAAAGGGUCUGUGCCACAUGUUAGUACCUCCCCCCGACCUCCUCCGACGUUCCAGUUACCUCGUCCCCCUCCU